UUUUAUUAUAUAAUUAAUUAAUUUAAAACUACAUACAUUUACAGGUAUAAAAAAAUUAUUUAUAUGCAACAUUUUGAUGAUUUGUCUAACAUUUUGAUGGCCACAGAAGGUCCACUAUGCAACUUUGCCUUAAAAACUAAGUCAAAUCCUCCUUCGCCUAACUUCUCUUUAAAAUCUGCAGCCAUCUUCUUGAUUUCCUUGUAUGAAUAUCUAAUAGGUGCCAAACUAUUUUGUUGAAGGUAAUUUUCAAUAUUUUCAUACAUUGAGGUAUAUCUUUUUCUCCAUUUACAUAUAAAAUAAAAAUAAUAAUUAAGAACGGCAAUCCAAACAAAACUUUGUAAGUCCAUAAUAUAGAGAUAUACCUGAGUAUAUACCUGAGAAUCUCUGCAAUAAAUUUUUACUUUAGUUACACACUACAAAAUGCAACAAGGUAUUUAUUAAAUUAAAUUUUCGUUCAUAAAAUCUAAAUGUUACAUAUCCAUUUACUUAGUAACAUUACAUAAAAAAAAGUAAAUUUAAUGUUUAGCAUAAACAAUUAUCAAUAAAUUUAAUUUUUGAUAUUACUCUAAAUAAAUUUGCCUGUAACAUUAAUGUGUCUUAAGACCUAAUCCAGUGAUGGUUGUAAAAUAUAAAAAAAAAAAACAGAUUUUUUAAAUAAUUUAUUUGUUUUUAUAAACUUUUUAAAUUUAACUGGUGUUUCUCUAACUUUUUUAAUUUAUUGAAAAUCACAAUACUUUAUCUUUAAUGUAAUUAAUAUUUAUUAUUGGUUAUUAAUCUUUAUUUAUAUCACUUUAAUUAAAAUUUUGAUUUUUUAUAUUAGAUGAAGAAAAUUGAAGAUAAUAUUUAGACAAACUCAAACUGAUUUUUAAAAAAAUGUGAAGUACAUAAGUUUUUAAUUUUUUUUAUAAAAGUUUUCAUAUUAGGCAUCUUGGCUCAAGCAACAACAAUCAUCUGUCAUCAUAUGAAAAAAUAUUACAAAAAAAAAUUAAAAAAAUAUAUGAAAAACUAGACCAAAACUCAUAUAUGUUAACAAAACUUAUAAGUAGACUAUACCUAUUUAUAAAAAAUGUUAAGAUCAGACUAGAUGGAAGUCUAUCAUCCCAAUAAAAUGAUUAUUUAUGAAUAAAUUUUAAAUUAGUGAACUUAUCAACACAAUCAUUCUCUUCGUAAAAGAUAUAUGAAUAAUCUUAAAUAAGAAGUAAAUUAAGAUGAUAAAAUGUCAAUUUAAGGAUGUGUUGAAAAAAAAAAAAGACGGUGAGAUAAUAAAGGUUGUGUUCGAUUAGUAUAAAUCACAUGAAAGAUUAUAAUGUAAUUGUAACAACAAAUUGAGUCAAUUCGAUUGAGUUGAGUUAAUCGUGGAUUAGAUAUCAGGUAUAUGAAAAAUUUGUAAAAAGAAACUAGUAUGACAACUAAUUCUGGUAGGGUGCUGAUAUAUUAAUAUUUUGAACAGUAAAAACAUACAUUUUAUAUCUUAAUAUAUUUUUAUUUUAUUUUUUAAUUUUAAUUUAAAAAUAUUAUUAUAUUAUUAUAUUAUUAUUAACCAUAUCAAAUAUGCAUAUUAACAGUAAAAACAUUACUGUUGACGGUGUUAACAAAUUUUGUUGGAUCAUCUUUAAAAUAUUUUAUGUAACUUUUUAUUAAUUAUUUGCUAAUAAAAAAAAGCAUAAAUAAAUUAAGAUGCAAAAGUUCUUACCUGUUACUUUCAUUCUUAGUCGUACCAGUCUUCCUGUAUCACCGAAAAACGAAAGAAAAUAUAAAUUUCAGAACUGUUAAUCUCAACAACUAUACCAACAAAGCUAGUAUAUGCAUGACGUUUUUUUUACAAGCAGCUUGUGUGCAUUAGUUCUAACAAAUACAUGUAAAAUAUAAAAAUUACAAAUUAAGAAUGGGAAUCCAAACAAAAUUUUGUAAGUCCAUACCAUAAAGAUAAUAAAAAUGACAAUUCCUGCAAAAAAAAUUUACUUGAGUGAUUAUACUGAUACUGUAAAAUGCAACACAGUAUUUAUUAAUGUAAAUUUUCGUUCAAGAAUGCAAACUUUACACAUCCAUUUACUUUGUAAAAUUUCAAUAAAUAAAUAAAUUUAAUGUCUAGCAUAAAAAAUUAUUAAUAGAUUUCAUUUUGUACGUUGCUACUAUGUAGCACAGACACUGACACAGACAUUGAUACGACACGGACACAAAGAUACGUAUAAUAUCUAAAAUGUAGAACACGGGGACACGAAUCUAUAGAUUAUAUAAUUAUGAAUUAUAUAAAUUAACAAUAAAGAUUUAUGUGCACAAGUAUGUUCUAAAUUAUUUUUUGGAGCAGAAAAAUGUUUUUCAUGACUGGUUCAAAAGAAUUUGUUUCUUAUUUUUAUAAUCAUAAUAAAAAUUUAUACAAUAAGUUUGAGAUUUUAAAAAAUUAAUGUAUUUUUUCUUUUUAAAAUUGUGUUAGAACCGUACUAGAACUGUUAGAAAUCCAAUAAAUACUUUUUGAAUUAGACACUUCACGGUACGUGUCAUAUGAGUGUCAAUGUCCGAUAUGAGUAUUCGACACCAACACGUCACUUAAGAGAAAUGUUUGAGUUUCACAGCGUUUGCUAAAGUAAACUGUGUGGAACAUUAAUGUGUCCUAAGACCUAAUUCAGUGAUGCUUGUAUAAUACAAACAUAUUUUUAAAAUAAAUUUCUUUAUAAACUUUUAAAUUCAUUGUGUUCCUCUAUAACCUCUUUAAUGUAUUAAAAUCACAAAUUUUUAAGUUAUUAACAUUUUAUAUCGGUUAUAAAUUAUCUCAAUAACCAGACAAAAAAGACUUUGCAUUUUGAAGUUUUGAUAAAGGUUGUGUUGGAGUAAUAUAAGUCACAGUGUACUCUCUUUUAUCCCUAUAUUCAUUGUUUAAUGAGGAAAUUGUGAUAAUAUUUACAACAAAGUUUUACUUGAGAGAGUAAACAUCACUGUAAAUAGUCAUUCUAUUACACCGUUAAUGUAAAAUGCAAUAAGCUAUAUACUAUUUGGUUAAAGAAAAAAUUAGUUUCUGAAAUAAAUAUCAUUCGAUUUGGUCUUGGAAGAUGAUAUCUAUAAGAAAAUUUUCUUUUAUGAGAACAAAUUGACUAAUGGUUGUCAAAGUUAAGAACUAAAUUUAUUAAUAAUUUUGUUUCAUGUGGAUUAAAAUCAACAAUUAUGCAAACUUUACAGGGACUACUUUUAAUUGUUUUAUAUUAUUUAAAUUGGCUAUAUUAUGCUACAUAUGUUACGAAAUCAUUUGUUAAAGUUAUACACCUAAAUAUAAUUAAUCUACAUUGAUUAUUUUACGUAGCGUAUUUUCGUUAAUAAAUUAAUAUUAACAAUCGGACCUAUGUAAUGAUGUUUUAUUAUAUAAUUAAUUAAUUUAAAACUACAUACAUUUACAGGUAUAAAAAAAUUAUGUACAACCAAGUAUGCUACUAAAUAAGGACGUCAUAUAGUAUCAAAACUAAUUCUUAUUACUAUUAUGCUAAAUCAAGUCAUUUACUAUUAUUGAAAAAAUGUGCUGACUCUUUUAUAAAUAAGCGUAACUUUAUAACGAUGAAUGGUUGUAUAAAAACUGUAAUCAAAUAUCUAAAACAAUGAGAGUUUGUAUUAAGACAAUUAUGUUUUAAAUUUAACUUAAAUUGAUUUAUUAAUAUGAGAUUUGUCUUAUUUAUAUAUUAUAAUUUAGUUAAUGAUAUGAUAUCUCCAACACGUCUCUUUCACGCUCACAACAUUGUGCAUUCGUAUAAAAGACAUCAAACACGGGAAUUGAAGGUAGUCCAAUAACGGUUAGCACGGAAAUGAGCUUUGAUACCAUAUUAUGAUAGUUUGCUCCACUUAUAUACUAUAAUUUGAUCUUAUUUCUAGUUGAUGUGAAAUCUCCAACAAUUUGGUUAAAAUUUAUUUUAUUGUCAUCUUCAAAACAAUGGUUAAAAUAUAAACUACAAGAAAAUCAUUAAAUAGAAACUAAUUUUAGAGACAAAAAAUAAUUAGUUAUUAUAUUAAAUACAAUUUUAGAGACUGGAAAAAUUAUUGUAUCUAAAGUAGUUUCUAUUAUUGAUAAAUAGUUUCUAAAUGAGUAUCUAAUUAGUUACCAAGAUUUAAGUUAGCAACUUUAGAAUCUAUAAAUAAUUGGUAGCUUAAACCUUAUUAGAUACCAAUUUAGAAACUAUUUAUCAAUAAUAACAAUUACUCACCAAUAAACUUUUUAUUCUCUAAAAUAAUAUUUAAUUUAAUUAAUAUAAUAACUAAUUAUUUUUUGUCUACAAAAUUAAUUUUUAUUUAAUAAUUUUUUAGUAAUGAGAAUCAUCGUCGAAAAUAUUAAAUAACAAUGGUUACAACAUAUAGUUAUCAUCAUAUGUCUAUUAAUAUACUCAAAUCAUACCAAUGCAAAUCGUUCCAUUUUGCAAUGUGCUUCUAAUGUUUUCUUCUUUUUCAUUGUGUUGCUUUCAUCAUCGAUACUCCUUCGUAUUUGUGCUAGUAAAGAAAAUUUACUUUUAUAUCUAGUACAUUGACCUUAUAUAUGUUAAGUUUUUCUCAUGUAGGAAUGAUAGACAUGAAUGACGCCUAGGGAACAAAAGGAAAACGAGACAUCUCAUAUUUCUCCACACAUUUUUCAGUAAACUUUAGCAACACUAGCACAAAAUGUAUAAACAACGACUAUUUAUUUAAUGCGGUUUUAGGGUUAGCGCUGUCAUUCAAAACGUGGUGUCAUUUUUUAAAUUAAUUUCAUUUACGAAUGCGGCUAUUUGUAAUAGUCGCAUUCUUAAAUCAAAGCGCAUGAUUUAAAUAGCCACAUUCGUAAAUCAAAUUGCAUGAUUUAAGAAUGCGGCUAUUACUAAUAGCCGCAUUCUUAAAUAAUUUUUUACCCUAAUUUUGAAGCGCGUCACUUACGCUUUCAUACUUUCUUCCUUUUUGGCGUUUCGCGUUUUCUCUUUGUUUCUGCUCUGGUGUUCCUCUCUUCUGCGAGUUUCAUUGAGUUCUCGUACCAAUGUAAGUUCGUUUCGAUUCGCUCUCUUUCUUCUUCACCAAUGGUUUAUAAAUUUUCUUCGUUUCAUUUAUUUGUUUGUUUUCUUGCAUUGGCGAAUGGUUCUCUGACGCUUCAUUUUCUCUUUUGUUUAUGCUCUCGUGCUUCCUCUCGUUUUCUACGAGCCUUCAUUGUCUUCUUUGUGCCAUUGUAAGUUCUUUUCGAGUUCUCUUUCUUCUUCACAAUUGAUUUAUAUAUAUUUUUUCGUUUCUCUCAUCUAUUUGUUUUCUUGUAUUGACGAAGGUCACCAACUUCAUUGCCUGCUGCUUGGAUUUUUGUUAUGUCGUAUUUGCUCCGUAGUUGCUGCUGCCACCGCUAUUGCUGCCUUAGGGUUUUAAUUUUUUUUUUUAAAUGAAAUAAGAAUGCGACUAUUUACCAUAGCCGCACUUGUAAAUCUUCGAUUUAAGAAUGCGUGUUGAUCAAGUGCGACUAUAUAACCGCCCUUGUACAUGUAAAAUAGCCGCACUAGUGCAAGUAUGAUAUGUGGAAAAUCAUCCAAAGUUGGAAAAGAGUUAGUGAAGUGUUCAUAGUUAGGAAACUAAAUGAUAGAGGACAAAUAUUUGACUUUGUGAGAUUUAAAGAGGUUGUGAAUGAAGUAGAAUUGGAAAAAUGACUAGGUGAAGUCUCGAUAGGAAAUAUGGAAAGUCACAUAGACCAAAAUUUGACCGAGAAUUAAUUUUAGGGUUUAGACCUAAACAUCAAUACUUAACAUAUUUGAGUGCUAGAGAUAGACUUGAAAUGUUAAUUGCCAUUAACAUCUGAGUGUGAUUUCUAAGUUGUUUUUAUAAGUAUGCGAGAGAUCGAUAUUUAGAAAACAUUCUUAAGAAAUUUAUAUGCGAGAGAUCGAUAUAAAUGAAUUUUCUACGGGCAUCAAUUUCAAUCAAAGAACUUAAUAUUAACAUGUUAAUCAAAAUACAUGAGAGUGAAAGAAAUGAAACUUAAUCCCUAUUUUUCCAAUUGAAGCAACUAAUUUUUUGUUUGUUUUCUUAUUGAUCAGUGCGAACAUCAUCACUUCAAACUCUUUUUAUUGUUCUGUUGUUAUAUUUAGCGAAUAUUCUACUCGAUAAUUCACUUUUCCUAGUGGGAUCGAUAUCCGUCCUUAGAGAUAAUUAUUAUUUCUGACAAACACGGGGCCCUUGCCGUAAAAAGUCAUCAGAUAUUUGUGUAGUAGUUUUGUUAAUGAGGUUCUUUGAAUUUCUAAGACCACCCUAAAUUGUUCUUUUUGGAAGCUUAUAUUAAUAUGCUUUCGAAAAAUAAUUUUAAUGAUAUUCAUUGUUUAGUGGUAAUGUAACACCAUCUAAUGCUUUUGGCCAUUUAAGAGGUAUUGUAGAUCAUCUAGGUUCUAGUGAGAUUGUCUAGUUAGUCCUGUAACAAGGCUAUCUAGCCGUUUUGCUAUAUUUUUUUUAUUUUUUUUAUAUGUUUAUCUGUUGUAAUCUUAAGAAUGUGUGCAUCUCAUACUUUGUUUUCCAAAAUAUUUUGUUUUCUUCUUUUGUUUUUUUCUCUUACUUGUGCUUUUGUUUUAUUAAUCCGUGUGACCACUAUAAGAAAAUCAUCAAAUAGAAACCAAUUUUUAGAAACCAAAAUAAUUAGUUGCAAUAGUAACUAAAUUAGAGACCAUUUUAGAAACUAAAACAAAAAUUGGUUUCUAAAUUAGUUUCUAUUAUUGUUAAAUAGUUUCUAAAUUGGUAUCUAAUUAGCAACCAAUGUUUUAUCUACCAAUUAUUUAGUUUCUAAAUUUAGUCUCUAAAACCUUGGUUGCUAAUUAGAGACCAAUUUAGAAACUAUUUAACAAUAAUAGAAAAUAAUAGAAACUAAUUUAGAAACCAAUUUUUGUUUUAGUUUCCAAAAUGGUCUCUAAUUUAGUUACUAUUGCAACUAAUUAUUUUGGUCUCUAAAAAUUGGUUUCUAUUUCAUGAUUUUCUUGUAGUGGACUAUGCGUGUGUCAUGAAUUACGAUUUUUAAUAUGCUAGCAGAGUAGGUUGAAUAAUUAUUUUCUAUUCUUUUUCUUUUUUGUUGAAUAAUUAUUUUCUCUUGUGGGCUAUUUUCUUCUUGUUGCCUUUCUUGUUGUCUUCUUCAUGUAUUUUUAACAUAAUACAGAAAACAAGGUUUUGUGAUACAACACUAAGAACUGCAGCUACCUAUUCUAUCAUUAAUUAUGGUUAUGGCUACUAAAUACUAAGAUUACUAAACUAGGAUUAAUUAUAAACUUUUUUUUUCUAUUUUCAGAAUAGGUCACUUAUAUAUGUGAUAUUUAGGUUAACAUAGUUUGUUGGACAGUAUGUUAUUGGACCUAUCCUAACAUUGUGUUACGAAUCUUUGCAAUAAUCUCGCAAGCUCAUAUUACUUGCAUCUUGGAAAAAUUUUUGGAACUGCAUUUAUCUCUUCUCAACUCAAUGGAAAAAAUCCCUUCGCAUAAAGGGCAAAUUGUGGUAAUAAAGUUGACACUUCUCCUAGUUAAGUUUGAUCUUGUUGUACUUAUCCCACCAGAACCCUCUAAGAGAAGGUAUGAGCAUUCUGGAGUGCUCUAACAUUCUAAAAAAAUUGAAUAAAGUAUUGUCAACACUCACAUAGGUAUUCUUUUAAUAUAGCAUAUGAUGACUUGAAAUAGAGAAUAACCUAAGGGAUUUUUGUUUAAGGGUCACCUCUCCUAACCAUCCUUUAAAUAAGUGAUUGAUAGAUGUUAUUUAUUGACUUAUUUUUCUAAAUGCCUUUUGUGAUGUUAUAGGUAAGUUCAGAUAUUAAGCCUUUAAGGCUCGAUCCGAGGCUUAGUGGGUUGUGUGGCGUUAUGGUAAGUUUCGAUAUUAAGCCUUUAAGGGUCGACCUAAGGCUAGUGGGAUAUAUGGCAUUAUAGGUAGAUUUUGAUAUAUAUAACGAUAAUUUGUUUUGAAUGAAGCAAAUCCUAGAAAAAGUCCUACGAUUAUAUAUUUAAUAGAUGAAUAUCAUUAAUGUCUCCUAAACAUUUAAGACAGUUUAAGUCAAGAAUAAAGUGUUAUAAAGGUACUUUUGACAUUUAAUAGUGAAUAAAAAGACUUAAAGUAGGACAAAAUACAAGGAAUUUGGAGGAUCAAUAUAGCAUAAAAAGGAUAUAUAAGGUCAGAAAAAGGCAGAAAAAAAACUGAGGGUGAAUUAUUUUCGCAAUACUGAGUCAUAUUGAAAUUUGAAUAAAAUCAACUAAUUGAUUUAUCUGUUUAACUAAUUAUAAAAAGCACAAUAAGUAUAUAUUCAAAAAUUAAACUUGUUGUUACGAGAACUCAACCAAUUGAUUUAAACGCAAAAAGUAGAAAGUUAUUGAUAAAACAGAUACUAGAGAGUAAGAGAGAGAGAGCGAUUGCACAUGAGAUUUAUAUCACUACAAAAAAAAAUAUUAUCUAUGAAGUUUUACCCACGGAUCUGAAUCCAUAGGUAAUUUCAACAUUACCUAUGGAUAUUACCAUGGAUAAUAUUACUUACGGACAUUACCCACAGAUUUUGAAUCCGUAGAUAAAUUCAGAGUUACCUACCAACUAUUAUUCAUGGAUCUUAUUACCUAUCAACUUUUAUCUACGGAUCUCUAUUACCUACCAACUAUUAUCCACAAAUCUCUAUUACCUACUAACUAUCACUCACAAAUCUCUAUUACCUACCAACUAUUAUCAUAAUAAUUAUAUAAAUAAUAUUAAAAAUAUUAUUAUAAUAUGAAUAAUUAUAAAAUCAUAAUUAAUAUUCAUAAAUAAUAAUAAUCAUAACUAAUAAGUACACAUAUUAUUAAUAUUAUAAAAUUAAUAAUAUUUAUAUAAAUAAUAUAAUUAGUAUUAUAUUAAUAAUACGAAUAAUAUUAUUAAUAAUAAUAAUAUUAGUAAUAUUAAUAGUAUUCAUAAUAUAACAAAAUUAAUAAUAUUAGUAAUAAUAACAUUAAUAAUAUAACUACUAUUAAUAAAAUUGAUAUUAUUUAUAAUAUUAAUAAUAUUUAAUAAUAUUAAUAAUAUUUAAUAAUAUUAAUAAUAUUUAAUAAUAUUUAAUAAUACUUGUAAUAUUUAAUAAUAUUAAUAAUAUUAAAUAUAUGAAUAAUUUUAUUAAUUUUUAUUUUAUUAAUUAUAUUAAUAUUGAUAAUCAUACUAAUAAGUAUAAUAAUAAUCAUAAUAUGACAACAAAAUUUGAUUGGUGUAAUGGUUAAAGUUUUUUUGGACAUUCCGAUAUAAUAAUUGGCAAACAAUAAUAUUUGUAAAUAAUAAUUGAAAAAAAAAAGAAAAAAGAUUUAAAUAAUAAUUAAAAAUUUAAAAAUAAAGAUAUUGAAUUACCUAUGGACACAUUACCUACGGACUGGAGUUGUUGGAUAAGUGCAAGAAUGAUCCAAGAAGCAAACUCGUUGUUUCUUGGACACAUUAUGGACACAUUAUGAAAAUCGUUGUUUGAAAUAACCAGAUUACAUCUUUAUAUUAGGUAAUAAUGAUUGUAAAAUUGUAAAAGCAGUUUGAUCAUUUAAUGAAAAUAUUUGUUUCAAUUAAAAAUGGAUUGGUUAAUAUAACAGAAUUUUGUUUAAAACAUUUAAUUUUUUUUGAAAUAUCUCAUUAUUUUCUUUAAGUUCAACUGAUUAAUACAUGAAUCAACUCAUUAAAAUAGAGAGAUUUAGAAAAUAAAACUUUGCAAAGAGAUUACUAUUGAAGUAAAUUGGAUCAUAAUGUAAUGCGAAGUUAUACAUAAAAAGCCAUGUUUACUGAACUUCAACCUCUAGAAAGCAAUAACACAUGGUAGAUGGUUUCUCUUUUACCGGAGCACAAACCAAUCGACUGUCGCUGGAUACAUAAAAUCAAGUAUAAUUUUGAUAGGACCAUUGAACGAUAUAAAACUCGUUUGGUCGCCAAGGGCUUCACCGAGGUUGAAGUUGUAGACUAUAAGGAAACUUUUUCUCCUACUGCCAAGCUCACCACUCUUCGUUGUUUAUUAACUGUUGCUUCCCGCAACUGGUAUACUCAUCAACUUGAUGUGCAAAAUGCAUUCCUUCAUGGGAAAUUACAAGAAGAGGUGUAUAUGACUCCACCUCCUGGUCUUCGCCGACAGGGGUAGAAUCUGGUAUGUCAGCUUCACAAAUAUAUUUAUGGUUUAAAACAAGCAUCACAAAAUUGGUUUUCAACUUUUGCAACUAUGGUUAAAUCUACUGGUUACAUAUAAUCAAAGGCAGAUUAUUCCCUUUUUACUAAAUCUCAAGGUAAAAAGUUUAUUGUUAUUCUCAUUUAUGUUGAUGACAUCUUGUUGACGGGUAAUGAUUUACAUACAUGAAAUCAAGCUGCUCAAAAAGUCAUAUGCACAAACGUUUUCUUAUUAAAGACCUCGGUGAAUUGAAAUAUUUUUUGGGGAUAUAAUUCUCUUGUAACAAAAGAUGGAUUUUUAUGUCUCAAAGAAAAUAUGCAUUGGAUAUUUUACAAGACACAGGAUUAUGAGGUGUGAAGCCGGAAAAAUUUCCAAGUAAAACUUGAAAUUGAAAAAUGAAGAUGGCAAAAUACUUGAUGAUUUGAGCAAGUAUCAGAGACCGGUUGGAAGAUUAAUAUACUUUACAAUUACUAGACCUGACAUAGUAUAUUCAAUACACACCCUUAGUUAAUUCAUGAACACACCCCGAAAGCCUCAUUGGGAAGCAACAUUGUGGGGGGAAGCAGCAUUGCGGGUUCUUAGAUAUAUUAAAGGGACAUCAGGUCAGGGUCUUUUUUUACCAUUUGAAAAUAAUUUAACUCUUAAUGCAUACUGUGAUUCAGAUUGGGGAGGAUGUCGUACUACAAGGUGUUCUAUUUCUGGUUACUGUAUUUUUCUCGGAUCACCACUUAUCUCUUGGAAAUCAAAUAAACAAACAAAUGUAUCACAUUCAUCGGCAGAAGCAAAAUACAUAUCAAAGGCAAAUACUUGUCUGGGAAUUGGCUUGGUUGAGAUAUAUACUUCGUGAUUUGACGGUUGAAUUGCACAAAUCGACUUCGUUAUUUUGUCAUAAUCAAGUAGCUUUACAUAUUGCAGCUAAUCUAGUUUCUCACGAACGUACAAAACACAUUGGGAUUGAUUUCCAGAGAAAACUUCAAGCAGGUGAGAUUCAUUCAUGUUAUGUUUCUAUAAAGAUGCAAUUGGCAAACAUUUUUUCAAAAGGGCUUGGUAGAGAGCAAUUUGAAUUUUUAUGCGGCAAGUUGAGAGUUCUUGAUUUGCACUCUCUCCAAUUUGAGAGAGAGUAUUAAGAAAUAUAUCAAUUAUCAUAUGAUAUUAUUAGUCAUUAUAUGAUUUAAUCAGUUAUAAAGAAAAAAAUAUAUCAGUUAUCAUAUGAUAUAAUUAGGUAUUAUGUGACAUACUUAGUUGAUUGAAUAAACAUAAUUAGAUUUUAUAUUACACUCUUUCAAUUCAUUCAAUUGAAAUCUAUAUGUACUGGUAUGGGCGAGACCGAGAUUCGGUCACCCUGACCGAGACUCUGGCUCGCUGAUCGAGACCGAGGAAACUUGACCGAGACCACAGAAACUUGGCCAAGACUAGGGAAAUCAUCAUGGUCAGCCUGGUCGACCGACCCAUACACCCAUUAACACUCAAACCAAGGUCAGUGAAGCUAAUCCGUCAUUAAGGAUUAGGUAAUGCAACCCUAAGUGAGAUCCACUCCACUAAUCAGACUCAAUAAAGUAAGUCCAUUAAAAUAAUAUAAAUAGCACACAUCCCAAGAACAAAGGUACGUCAUUUAUUACUGUUCACCUACCUGAAUACUGAUCACUCGCUUUACUAACUUGAGCAUCGGAGUGUCUUCGCAGGUACCACAUUCGGUGUUCGUCCGAGACCGAGUGCCGAAGGAGAAGCACGAGGACGAGAAGAACCCCAACUCAUCACCGAGUGACCUGCCUGAUCGAAGGAAGGAGAGGAAGACUUCAAUAGUUCUUUAGGUCUCAUCUCCCUAGCAGGAACACUAUCCUUCUUGGCUAGAACACGUCCAUCAUUUUUUUUUGUUAUUCUAAUUUUUUGAACGCGUUCUACUUAAAUAAAUGGAGAAGAAAAGUGUGGUGGUGGACACCAAUAUGCAGUGGUGGAAAAGGUCCAUGAACGACCACAAGAGUUUCCCCACCAGAUUAUCUCUCACUUUUGUCAAGUGAAUGGAUAAUUGCAAUAAAAUAUUUAGAUAUAUAACUUUAAAAUAUUCCAUGAAGUGUGCUCAUUAUACUAUAAUAAGACUACAAUUGACAAGUUUUAGAGUGCAGACCUUAACACUUCAAUCACUAAAAAAAAGGUUUUUAAUAUUUCAACAAACUUAUAAUGACAGCUUGAGAAUUAUAUUGGUUUAAUUUUGUUAGAAAACACACAUAAUAACAUCAAUUACAAUCAUUGUUGUUUUUUUUUACAUACAAUACAAUGACAAUUACUUUUAUAACUAUCGUAGUUUAGUUAAUAUUCGAUAAAAGUUAUUUUUAAAAUUGUCACAAUUAUCUCUUAAUAAGUAUUUUUCUAAUAUUUUUUACAAUGGUUCUAGGUAGUAGAGAUGCGAUGAAAAAUCGUAUACUAAUCACCAUCACCAUUGUUUUGUCUUAAAUAUUUUGUUUUCUUACUUUUUAUUAUGAUGGAAGUGACAUGAUUUUUACCAUAAUUAUAUUAUGUUAAUUGUACAUACUUUGCAGAUUUUAAACAUUCGUAUUAAAAAAAAUAUCAGACAUACAAUCCCAUUCAUAUUUCACAAUUCUUAUCACUUUUCACUUCAAAAACAAUUAUAAAUAAACAGUCUUAACAGUUACACGAGUUGAUUUACAAAUCAAUUACAAGAAAUCUCACCUUAUUAUAGAGACAGAUAAAUAAACGAGUUGAUUUACAAAUCAAUUAGAACAAAUCUCAGUUUAUUAUAGAGACAAAUAGAGACAAUCUAAUAACAAUGUUAGAUCAUCCAGGUAAAAAAAAUCAUGACAUAAAAACCAAUUUUAGAGACACAAAAUAAUUAGUUCUUAUAGUGACUAAAUUAGAGACCAUUUUAUAAACUAAAAAAAAAUUGAUUUCUAAAUUAAUUUCUAUUACGGUUAAAUAGUUUCUAAAUUUGUAUUUAAUUAGCUACCAAGGUUUUUGCUACCAAAUUUAGAAUCUAAAUUGGUAGUUAAAACCUUGGUAGCUAAUUAGAUACUAAUUUAGAAACUCUUUAAUAAUAAUAGAAACUAAUUUAGAAACCAAACAUUUUUUUAGUCUCUAAAAUUGUCUCUAAUUUAAUCACUAUAACAACUAAUUAUUUUUUAUUCUAAAAUUGAUUUCUAUUUCAUGAUUUUUUUUUAUAGUGUAGGUUCUCUUCUAGAUUGCUCAACUUGAUGUUACAUCCAAAUAAACCUUUCCCAACUUUGAAGAAAGGAUUAGCAAUAUUACAAAGAUUCAAACUAAAACACCUUAUAUCAUAUUGAAAAAUAGCUCAAAACAGUAAUAGCAGACAAACACAAGUAGCUAGUAUAGAUAAAAAAAAUAUUAUGUAGAACACCAUGGUACAAACGGUAAAAAAAUUCUCUUGCUAUUUGAUUGUUUUAAGGUAUUGAUUAGGGAACAAUAGCCUGACUGAAAAGGAGAAAAUAACAGCAGGUAGUUUAUAUUUCAUCCAUAACUAAGCCUUUAGCUGAACCAUAAGUACCAAUUCUUCUUCAUCAACGUUUCCAUCUCUAGACACCAUUAUGUUCUUAUAAUUUCAUAUACUCAAAAUCAAUGUUAUCCACAUAAGUUUUUAACCUGGUUUUGCUUUUUUCUUUUUUUCAAGUGUAGCAGUUGAAACUGCUCAAAGUGAACAAAAAUAUUGUUACGUUGGAGUGACUGAAUUCUCACCUAAUGUGUUCCAAGCUAAAAAAACUACCUUACAUUCUAGAAAUAAAGGAGAGUUUGAACAAAUAACUCUCAAUUCCAAAGGAUAGAAUUAGUCACUCAUGUUAAGUAUUACAAGCAUGGAGAGCAAGAAAAGAAAAUCUAAGAUGUUUCUCCUUGACGGAUGUCUCCUCUAGGGUUUCUAACACCUUCUAUUCUCCCAAUGAAUUUCCAAUUCACUCAAUGUUGUCUAGGGUUGUGCUUCAAGCCUCAUAUUUAACCUAGUUGAGUUUGGGCUAAGUGACUUCUCUCUUGGGCAUUAUUGGGCUCACCUGGGCUAGUUGCAUGAAAACAGGUCCAACGUCACUGAAGUGAUCUCGCUUGGGCGACAUUGAGCUCCCUUGGGCGAGAUCCUUUAGGAGCUUCUGGCUUGGGCGAGCUUGGGUGAGUACUAGUGCGUUCCAACUUUCCCAUUUUAUCUUUGUAUAUUCUCUUUUUGCCCUUUCAUCUCCAUUCUUCUCUAGAAUCAUAGAAUUAACACAAAUUUGAGAAUCAAUUGUUCUCAUCCAAAUUAAAAUCACAAAAUAUGUAAAAAGAUUUAAAUUAAUAAAUUAGGAGUUAUUCUAUCAAUUAAUAUCCAUAAGUGUCUGUAUUUUAAUAUGAAAUAUUACUGAAAUCUGACACUUAUUAAUAGAGAUAAAAACUUUUACAUAGUAUAUAGUGGGUGUAAAUCUCACCUUAUAAGUUAGUUUUAUAAGGUUCAAUUUGAGCUUAAAGUACACUUCUUAAUAUGGUAUCAGAGUCAUUUAAAGUCUAUCAUAGUGAAAUUUUGUUGGGCCUAUGAGGUCAUUCGCUAUUGGGUCACCCAUAAAUAUAUAGUUUAACGCACAAGUUAGGAAGUCCCGACGUGAAAGAAUGUUGGAGCUCUUACGUUGACUAGAGAUAAGGAAUUUUCAUAAUAUAUAAGUGGAUGCAAACCUCACAUUAUAAAUUGAUUUUAUAAGAUUGAGUUAAACUUAAAAUUCACUUCUUAAUAUAAAAAGUGAAAAAACUAAAGUCGUGAUCCAACACAACUUCAAAAAUCAAAAGCAAAAAUAGUAUAGAACAUAAUGAUUUCAAUAAAAAAAAUUUAAAAAUAUAAUGAGAAAAUCGUACUUUGAGUGAUGACUUACUUAUUUUUAUAAAAAAAAAGUAAAAAUUUCAAAUACUUUAAAGAAUGGUACCACUACAAGAAAAUCAUGAAACAGAAACCAAUUCUUAGAGACCAAAAUAAUUAGUUGCAAUAGUAACUAAAUUAAAGACCAUUUUAUAAACUAGAAGAAAAAUUAAAAAUUGGUUUCUAAAUUAGUUUCUAUUAUUGUUAAAUAGUUUCUAAAUUGGUAUCUAAUUAGCAACCAAGAUUUUAACUACCAAUUAUUUAGUUUCUAAAUUUGGUCUCUAAAACUUUGGUUGCUAAAUGGAUAUAAUUGAAACUAAUUUAGAAAUCAUUUUUUUUUAGUUUAUAAAAUGGUCUCUAAUUUAGUUACUAUUGCAACUAAUUAUUUUGGUCUCUAAAAAUUAGUUUCUAUUUCAUGAUUUUCUUGUAGUAUACCAUUAAUUUCAGUAAAAAAAAAUCUUGGAUUGUAUACAUUUUAUAUUUUGAAAGGUAAAUUGAUUUCUUCAUUUUAUAUUAACUAAAAAAUUUCUUAUUAACUAAAAAAAUAUAUAUUUAUAUUACAAAUAAGUAAGAUAACAGUUAUAUCAUUGUGAAUGUAAAAAUAAUUAAAACUUAUGGAAUUGAAAGAUAUAAACAUAUUUUAAUACCAUUAAAACAUAAUUUUUUUAAUAGAGAUUCAAUUUGAAAAUACCUAAAUUAAUGAGGAGUUUAAAACUUAACUAAAUCUAGAUUUUAAUUUCACAAGUAUUUAUUUAUAAUUUUAAAAUAUAUACACGUAAGUUUAAUUUUCAUUUAUUUUAUAAAUAAUUAUUUUCCUGAUAAAUGAUUUUUUUAUCAUUAAUUUAAUUGAUAUAAAUGUGUGGAUACAUUUAACGUACCAUUAUAAACUCUUCAAUAUUAAAACAAAGUUGUUGUGAAAAAAAAAUUUAGAGUAUCUAUUUUCUUGAAAAAAUCAUUUAAUGUAAAAUAUUUGGAUUAAAACUUACUAAAUAUUACUCAUUUGGUCAUUGGAAAAGUUAUGCAAUCCAACACAUGGAAAAUAGAAAAGACAAGUAUUUUCUACAACAAAAUUGUAGAAUGUCACCAUGCAUAUUCAGGUAGAAUGAUAGUUCAUGAUUUCGCAUUUGCAAACUUUGGAACAAAAUAAUAAAUUUAGUAACUCAUUUGUUCUAAUUGUUGGAGAUCUCACAUCGACUAGAGAUAAGGACAUUUCAUAAUAUAUAAAUGGGUGCAAACCUCAUCUCAUUGAGCCGGUUUUAUGGGGUUGAGUUAGGCUUAAAGUCCACUUUCGUAAUAUGGUAUCAGAGCUGGCUGCAUAACGUUCAUCUGAUAAAAAUAAAUCAAUAAUUAUUAUUCAAUAUAUGAAUUAUUUCUACAUAUAUUGUUAUUUGACUGCGUCAAAUAUAUACUUGCAGAUCAAGUGUUUAUAUAAGACAAACAUGUGAAACUCAUUAGAAUUUGUGGUUCAAUAAAACUUAUUAAUACGGAUAUUAAUGGAAAAAUGUUCUUUUCGCCACAGGUCUACAUGUGGUGGAACUUUGACUGAGUAAUAAUACAGAGAGGUUAGGAAAAAGAAGAAAAUAAAAGAAAUUAUAAGUUAAUGAUGAUGAGGAAGAAGCUUCGCAACAUGGGUUGUCGUUGUCUGAUGAAAAGAACAUAUGAAUUGAUGUCGAAUUAGAUAUAUGAUUUAUUCAAAUUCAUUUAGGUCUACCAAGUCAAGGUUGAGUGUGGGUUAUGUUUUCUACACACAGUAAUGAGUGAACUUCUUCCAAAUUUAAACCUGCAUUAAGCUUCCUGUCACAAUCUUAGGUCCACACUCUCCUUUAUCACACUAAUCAAAAAAAUCAAAACAUCUUUCAGACUUUUAAUAAUACUUUUACGGUAUAUUUGUUUUCAGGCAAAAAUAAAACUAGAAAUCACAAAAAUUAAUGUAUUUUUAUUUCUUCAAACUUUCUUAAUUUUGUUUAAAGGGAUUUGCUAUAUACUGAUUAUAUAUAAAAAUUAUAUUUUAAUAUAUAUAUAUAUAUAAUACUUAAUAUAUAUUUUUAUAUUAUAAUAAAUAAAAAAUAAAAAAUAAUUUUAAUUAUUAAGAUGUAUCAUUAUUAUUAUUUUUUAUUUUUUAAUCUAUUUUAAUUCUAAUUUAUCUUUCUAAAUUUUUUAUAUUAAAUUUUUUAUAAUCAUUUUAAAUUUAUUAUAUCUAUCAAGUCAUUCACAAAUUUUUCUUUCACUUUUUAUUCUCUUUCCCUCAAUCCAAACUAUCUCACUUUUCACUUUUUUUUUUUCACUCCUUCAAAUUCAUUCUUUGAUGAAAACAAAGCAUUAGUGUACAUGUACGUUCAACUGAUAAAAAAAAAAUCAAUGAUUAUUAAUUUCAAUAGGAAGGUUAGAAGUUGAAAUAUGUCUAUUACAUUUUUCAUAUGAAUGUCCUUUUCUUCAAUCAUCUCCCAAAUGAUAACAGUUUUUAAUCACGAACCUUUGUCUAACGACGUCUUCGACGGUAUAUUUGAGAAUAAGAGAAUCCCAAAUAUAUUUUGCUUCCUUGUAAAAGCAAUAAACAUCGAACAUAUUGUUAGAAAACACCGAGAAAGGUGUGACAACAUACCUUAUUUGCAUGAGCCCAAUCGUCAAUAUUUUUGAAAGUGUGCUUGAGUUGGGUUUAGAAGUUGUAAGUGCAAAAACGACUCUAUACAUGUCCAACAGGGUAGACAGAAAUUCUUGCCAGGGUAGAAACAGUUUUGCAAAGAUGCUCUGUGUUGCGGAAACAUUGUUUGACGUCUCCAGUGUAGACUUGUUGUUUUUGUUCGUAUUCUCAACCAUUAAUUCCUUACAAAUUGUAGUAAAUAAGGUUGAAAAAACACAAACAAAGUUGACUUCUUGAGGCGUGAUGAUCAUUGUUUGUAAGUACUUAUCCACUGUGUAUUACGCAAGUCCUCCAAGAUACAACAGGAACUUCUCGGAUAUUACCGAUAAUAUCAAAACUAACAAACAACUCUUAAAAGAGUAAGAACCCAAGAAAAUAUUAGAAAGGAAAAGAGAAAAAGUGGAAAAAGUCGUGAGCGAUGAUUUUGGAAAGGUGUAUGAAACCCCUGUUUAUAGAGUGAAAAAAGGCAACAACCCAAAAUUGCCACAACUCCAAAACCAACUUUGACGACAUUGUUUUCCAUCCCAACAGCACAACGUCCUGAGGAGAAAGAAGGAGAUAUGGAAGUUCAAGUCUUGCGCGUGAAAAAUCAACUCUGGCAUACAUUCUGUGUACUAAUUAUCUUUUUUUUUUUUUAUCAGCAAAGAAUAUAAUAUAAUAAAAAGGGGUACUUCAGGGGUACCCCAACCCAUAUACAAAAAAACCAAGUAGCACAAAGCAAAGGAAAAUAUUCAUUUUAAUGGAACAAACAGAACAACCAUAUCCUAGCCUAACAAGACUUUUCCAUUUGCCCCACACGACCUCUCAUCCACCUAUUUAACCACAUCUUCAAAGAAAACAGAUCUUGACCACCUGGCCUCUUAUGUUACGUGUCUUCAUAUGCUACCCCCAACACAACUUUCUUUUAAGCCCCUUGAUGUGUACAAAUCAGAAACACCAACAAACUGAUAUACCUCCACACGACUUCUAGCACUGACUACGACACCAAAUUUUCGUGGAAGCCACCUCGCACACCCAAACAUCCUUGGAGCAGCACCUUGAACCAGCUCCUUCUCUGAACCAGGAGCACCUUAUUUCCUAACCUCACAUCCAUUGAAAAAUUGUAGGAAAAAAAACCUCCAACAAGGAUUAUAUUUUCCUUUACUGAAUCAACACAAGAACAACACAUAUUUCACCCUGCAGCACCCUACUUCUCCUUAAACCUGAGCCCUGUAACUUUUUACAACAUUUCCACCACACCUACCAACCAUCCAGCUAACAUAGAUACCUUAUGCUUGACGUGGAGAUACAAGAACAUCUCAUCGACCACCUUCAUAUCAGCAACCCUGCAGACACAUGUUUGGAUUAAGGAUCCGAUCCGAAUAGGAAAAACUAUUGUUAUAAUAACACUACAAGAGAAUCAUUAAAUAAAAACUAAUUUUAGAGACAAAAAAUAAUUAAUUGCUAUAUUGACUAAACUAGAAACCAUUUCAGAGACUAAAAAAAUUAUUGGUUUCUAAAUUAAUAUUGGUAUCUAAUUAGCUACCAAUUGUCUUGUUUAUAAAUUUGGUAGCAAAAAUCUUGGUAGCUAAUUAGAUACCAAUUUAGAAAUUAUUUAACAAUAAUAGAUUAAUUUAGAAAUCAAAAUGUUUUUUAGUCCCUAAAAUGAUAUCUAAUUUAGUUAAUAUAGUAAUUAAUUAUUUUUUGUUUUAAAAAUUAAUUUUUAUUUAAUGUAUAAAAUUCUCAUCUAUCUGUUUGUGGUGUGGGACGGAUGGUGGUGAGGAUGGGUUUUAUUUGGACGAUUAUUAUGAUAGGAUCUUAUGCUUAUUCAUGAUUACUUGAGUUAUGUAUAUACAUAAUUUAUGUUUUUUUAAUAGGGUUGAAAUAUUUUUCAAAUAUCUUAAAUAUAUAAUAUAUUUUUUUUUUAUAAAAAAAAUCUACCUAUUGUCAUUUGACUGCGUCAAUUAAGUACUUCCAUAUCAAGUGUUUAUAUAAGACAAACCUGUGAAACUCAUUAGAAUUUGUGGCUCAAUAAAGCUUAUCAAUACGGAUAUUAAUGAAAAAAUAUUCUUUUAGCCACAAGUCUACUUGUGUUGGAACUUUUAGCCCUUGAAUAAUUUGCAAAUAUUUAAAGUAGAAAAAAAAAUCAAAUGCAUUAUACAAAUAUUGUUUUUCAAUCAGGAUAUAAAAAUUUAUUUCGAUCAUUUUUCCAUGAUUUACUAUAAUAUAUAUUUAUGUUUUGUCUCUAUUUAAAAGUAAGUCCUGAACUAUUUCUUUAAUUGGGUUCUCAAAGUAAUUCCUUAAAAUUGUUUUUGAACAGCAUAUUAAUAAAACCUUCCAAAAGAGAACGAUUUAGGAUGGCUUUAGAAACUCAAAGAACUCCAUUAAAAAAUUUACAUUAUUAAAUACCUAAAUAAGAAUUCACGGUACGUAUCAUACAUAAGUCUUCAAACAAUCUUCUAAAAGGGAAAAAUGUGGUCCUUCAUAGUUAUAUAUACAGUUCAGUCUCUCUUGUUAUCAGUAUCUAACUUUGAUUUGUUUGCACUUGAAUUCAAUGAGAAACAGAGAUGAUGUGGAAAGAGAGAGCAUUCAUGGUGGUACUGCUACUUCUAGUCCACAAAAUUCAUGGUGGCUGCCCCUCCUCUUCCUGUGGUCAAAUCACCAACAUCAAUUACCCUUUUCGAUUCAAAGGCGACCCAGAAGAGUGUGGUGAGGAAGGUUAUGAGCUUGGCUGUGAGAAUAAUGUUACGGUGUUGUAUCUGUACUCUGCACAAUAUCAUGUGCAGUCAAUAAACUACAAGAACUACACAGUGAGAGUGGUUGAUCCUGCUCUUCAACACCAUAAUCUCUCCUCCCUUCCUCUCCGUUUCCUCUCUCGUUCCAAUUUCUCUGACACUUACACUUACACUUCCUUUUACGACUCGGAUCCAUACCAAGCCGGUCUAAGAUCCUAUGAAAAUUGGGAAUUGAGUUUCUCGCAUAUAGUGUUUGUGAAUUGUAACCAUUCGGUGGGAGAGAAAGGGAAGUAUGUGGAGAGUGGAGAGUGGGUGAAGUGGGAGGGGAAGGGGUAUGCAUAUGCAAUUGGUGGAGACCUAAAAGCAGAGGACUUAGAAGUUGGGUGUGAGGUAAAGCUUGUUGCUCCCACUUCUCUCUCCACUUUCGAUUACCAUUCCUACUCUUCCAUUCACACCGCACUCGCCUAUGGAUUCCAGAUUUCAUGGAUAAAACUCACCUGUCAGAAUCUUUGUCCAGAUGAUGAUAGCUAUUGCUAUUUCGACUCUUCUAACCAGAAGCUUCAAUGCCGUGAGUCUAAACCAAAAUAUAUUAACCAAUUUUUUAGAUUUUUUCAUAACAGUUUCAAACAUAUAUACUGUAUAUUUCACUUUACAUAUAUUAUUAUUCACAAAGCAUCAUUGUAAUAAUUCAACCAACAUUUAGAAGAAAAAUAAUAAUUUGUUAUCAUCCUUUACAAUUCUCCCACUCAUAGUCACAUAAGCACGUUAUUAUGCUCCUUACUCAUGUAGUUUAAAUCUUCUAAAUAUACAUUUAAAUUAACUGAAAAGCUGGUAAACAAUUAGUAAACCAAUUUUUUUAUCUUUUAUAUUUUACAUGUAUUUAUAAGAACGUAUGCAUUAAAUUAAACAUUUAUUUUCUUUAAAAUAAAUAACUGUUAAACUUAUUGACCGCUAUAACCUUUAUCAAAAUAUGAAAAUAGCCUUUUUUGAAUAACUGGUGAGAUCACACUAUUCUAAACUUCAUAUGUUCCUUCAUUCCAGGCCGAUCUGGUCUAACACCGCUGGGAGUGCUAAUCCUGUAUCUAGCAGGUAAGACUUUAUAUUAAUUUCUAAAUUCUUUAAUUACACAAAAAAACAGACUUCUAUUAGUAGUUCUCAAAUUUCCAUUAACAGAAAUGUUGUUAAAAAAUAGAAGAUUUGGCUUACAAUCAUCUGUGAUUUUUUUUUAAAUUUUAUUUUGCUUUUAAAAACUUUCGACUACUUUCGACAGCAAUUUAUGAUUAAAUCGUAGUAUUUUUAAAGUAUUAUUUUAGUUUUAAAUUUUUCAACUCUUUCAAUGACUGGUUAUAAUAUGAACUUGGUGAAAGUAAUUAAUAUAUGAUAAUGAUUAUACUAAAAAUUAUUGUAACAUCCAACUAUUAUUCUCUAUUCACUACAAGAAAAUCAUGCAAUAGAAACGAAUUUUUAGAGACCAAAAUAAUUAGUUGCAAUAGUAACUAAAUUAGAGACCAUUUUAGAAACUAAAACAAAAAUUGGUUUGUAAAUUAGUUUCUAUUAUUGUUAAAUAGUUUCUAAAUUGGUAUCUAAUUAGCAACCAAUGUUUUAGAGACCAAAUUUAGAAACUAAAUAAUUCGUAGUUAAAACCUAGUUGCUAAUUAGAUAUCAAUUUAGAAACUAUUUAACAAUAAUAGAAACUAAUUUAGAAACCAAUUUUUGUUUUGGUUUCUAAAAUGGUCUCUAAUUUAGUUACUAUUGCAACUAAUUAUUUUGGUCUCUAAAAAAUGGUUUCUAUUUCAUGAUUUUCUUGUAGUGAUUACAAUAUAAUUCUACACACAAAGUCUUGUAUAAAUGGAGUGUUUUUUAAAAUAUUUCUUAUAUAAUUAAAAUUUAUAAAAGCACAAAUAUUUACAAUUUAUAUUUCAAAACAAACCUGUCAUGAUGGAGGUAAAAACUUCUCAAGUUAAAACAAGAUAAUAAUAAUUUUUUCUUCAAGUUCAUCUAACUUUUGAGGGUCAAUAACUUUACUACAUAUCGAAUUGAAAAAUGAACAUAGUCGAGUUAUUGUAUGUCUAACUUUUUUUGGUAAGAUUUCACGAAUAGUCACUAGUAGUAAUUGUUGCAUUAGAACGUGACAAUCAUGAAACUUUAAGUCAUUUAGUUUCAAAUCAUGCAUAGAUACAAGAGUCUUAACAUUUGAAAACUAGCCUUGUGGUACCUUAACACCUUUAAGAAAUUCACAUAAACUUAUUUUCUCCUUCUUCUACAAAGUGUAACACGCUGCAGGAAAAUAUGUAUGUUUGCCAACUUCUUACGGUGCCAAUUCCUCUCGUAUAUUCAUCUCAAUCAAAUUCGGACAUGCAUUCACAUCAUCCUUCAAUUUACCUUUAAUGUUCAAAAGUAUUUUGAUUAAGUUGUUACACACAUUCUUUUCUAUACAUGCAUUACAUCUAUACAAUGUUUCACAUCUAACUUACUCCAAUACAUAAGAUAAAAAAAGAUUGACCUCUUCUGAUGUGAGUUGAUUUUAGAUUUCCAUUUUAGAGGUGACACUUUACUUAGGAUUGAGAUUUUUAACAAUUAGAUGGUGAGACAUAGGGAAGAUUCCCACUGGACACGAACUUAACCAAGUGGUUAAGUAAGUGUGAAGGUUCACUUCCAAAGGCAAAAGGAAAAACACAUUAUAUGGUGAUGGUGAUGUAUGGUGUGGAAUUGAAAGAGCAUGGAAGGAAACAUAAUAAGAUGACAAAGACCGAAUGAAAAAUGGAGGAAAAUAAAAACAUAAACACAAAGAGAAAAUGGUGGAAUGGAAGAUGAAAAGAAAAGAUGAAGGGAAGCUUAUGGAUGAUGGGAGAGAGGUGGACACGCCACUUGGAGGUUGGUUUCCUCCAAGAUAAGUGUAGAGGGUCGCCACUUGAGAGCUCUCAAAUCACUCAAGAUAAGACCUAAUGCUAAGAGGACACAAGCCUCACAAACACCUCACACAAGUUGUGCAGAGUAACUUUACUAUUCAAAUUCAACAUGAAAAUACAUGAAGUAUGACACCCUAUUUAUAGGAAUGGGUGCCUUGGUGGGCAAGAAGAGCAAGGGUAGGGUGGUAAAUGUGUAAGGGGCUACCUUUAGGGUUUUACUAAGUAAAAAUUGCACCCUAGGCUUGUUCUUCUAUAAACUAGGUCAAAUUUCCUUCCUAAAGGGCUAGAAACAAGAUAAAAUGAUAACUACACCCCCUAUUAUGCUAAAGGCACCUUAUUCUAGCUUAUCUUGCUAUUUGGAUCUCCAAUAUGAGCCCAAAUUAUUUACAACUUGUUUUAUUCUUAAGAAGACUAUAAGGAAGAAUAAUUGAUGUUCUGGUCUUUGCCCAUUUCUCCUUCUGGUAAGGUCUGCUAGAUCCUUGGUGGAUUCUUUACUUGAAAAUUGAGAUGACUUCUCAUAGUGUGGAUGGUAAUGUGAGUCCUUGGUCAUCUCUUUGUGGUCUUGGAUUGUAUCAUGCCCCCCAAGUUUGAGAGAAUUCAACCUCCAAUUUAGAAAUCCUGCAUAUAACAUAGUUAGUUUGUUCACAUAUAAAAGAGUGCAGGGUGUGGGAAGUGAAACAAACUUAUGUACUUUAAGCUUGAGGAAUUUAAAAGGGGAAGCUCUAUAUACAAGCCAUGUUGGGAAAUAAUAUUUGAGGAUGAAAGUACUUGGUGAAAAAAAUCCUCUUAAAAGGUGAGAACCCGUAGGAGGUGUUUGAUUUUCAUCCCAAAGCUUCUUUGUCCAAGAUGUUAAGUAUUUAGAUGUAUUUGUUAAUGAAAAAGAUAAGGAAGAAGGACACCUUCGAGGUGUAGUUUGUAGCAUGGCACGAGUCAACAUGAUUGAUUUAGUUGUGUAAGAUGAUAGUUUGUGACCCGAUUAUCUUUUCUUUCUCUCUCUUUUUUCAUUUUCUCUUUUGUUUUUCAUUUUUAGUUGGUCCUCAUGAACUUCUUUGGGAGAGAGGGGUUUUAAGAUAACCUUGUGCACUUGGAAGUUGAAAGACAUUUUGUUUGUUUGGCCAUCAUGUAGAACUUGUCUAUCAUAUUUCCAAGGCCUCCCCAAAAGAACAUGUGUUGUUUCCAUAGGCACAACAUUAGAUAAAACCUCAUCUUUAUACUUUCCUAUAGCAAAAGUUAUGAGGACUUGUUUAGUAACCAUGAUUUCACCCUCUUUAUUAAGCCAUUGGAGCUUGUAGGGCUUUGUAUGAGAGAUGGUGGGUAGUCCAAGCUUGUCCACCACUCUUGUACUUGCCACAUUAGUACAACCACACCCAUCUAUUAUUAUGAAACAUAACUUGUUGUUGAUAAGGCCGCGUGUGUGGAAAAUAUUUUCUCUUUGGGUGUCAUCCAAAGGUUUUGGAAUUGUUCUCAACAUGCGCCUUAUCACCAAUAAGUCACCUUCACACGGUAUUACAUUUUCGUAAUUUUGAAGGCCACUUAAUGGAUUGGGACAAGUGUCAUUCUCAUAGUACCCAUUGAAAGCUUUUUUCAAUCUACGAUACAAGUAAUCUUUUGUUAGAAAUCUAAGACGUCGAAGAAGUAAACUUUAAGCCAAACUCAACCUUAUAUAGAUGACUCGUAGUAAGGUUUACACACUUAUAUACUAUAAAAUGUCCUUAUAUCUAGUCAUCGAUGUAGGAUAUCCAACAUAACCUCUUACUUCGAGACUAUCAACUCGUGCAUGUGACUAUAUAUUUAUGGGUGAUCUGAUUAGUCCAACAAACACUUAUUAUGAUACACUCUAAUUGACUAUGAUACUAUAUUAAGAAGUAAACUUUAAGUCUAACUCAAUCUUAUAAAACAGUAAGGUGAUGCUUGCACCCACUUAUAUAUUACAAAAUAUUUUUAUCUAUAGUUGACGUUGGAUCUCCAACAUACUUCCCAUUUUUUAAAAUUAAAUUUUAAUUUAUCAAAAAAAUUCUCAUAUUUUCUUCAUCUAAUUUUAAAAAAUCAAAAUUUUGAUCCUCAAAGUGAUAUAAAUAAAGGUUUUUAACCCAUAUUAAAUGUUAAUUACCUUAAAGAUUAAAAAAAUUGUGAUUUUCAAUAGGUUAAAAGGGGUUAGAGGAACACAAAUUGAAUUUAAAAAAUUUAUAGAAACUAUUUAAAAAAAUACGUAUGUAUUUUUUACAACCAUCACUCCAUUAGGUGUUAGGACACAUUAGUGUUACAUAAAAAUAUAUUUAUAGAUAGCAACGUGAAAAAAAAAAUUGUUAAUAUUUCUUUAUGCUAGACAUUAAAUUUACACUCUUUUUUUUCUAAUGUUACUAAGUAAAUGGAUGUGCAAACUUUGGAUUUUAUGAACGAUAAUUACUUUACAAAAUACUUUAGUGCAUUACAUUACUAGCGUAAUCACUCAAGUAAAAAUUUAUUGCAGGUAUUCUCAUAGGAAGGGCUUACAAAGUUGUGUUUGGAUUGCCAUUCAUAAUUGUUAUUUUUACAUAUAAAUGGAGAAAAAGACAUAUGUCAAUGUAUGGAAAUAUUGAAAAUUACCUUGAACAAAAUAGUUUGACACCAAUUAGAUACUCAUACAAGGAAAUCAAGAAGAUGGCUGUAGGUUUCAAAGAGAAGUUAGGUGAAGGAGGAUUUGGCUCUGUCUUUAAGGCAAAGUUGUGCAGUGGGCCUUUUGUGGCCAUCAAAAUGUUAGGCAAAUCGAAAGCAAAUGGACAAGAUUUUAUCAAUGAAGUUGCGACCAUUGGAAGAAUACAUCAUCAAAAUGUGGUACAGUUAAUUGGAUUUUGUGUUAGUGGCUCAAAGCGUGCUCUUGUUUAUGAAUUUAUGUCCAAUGGAUCUCUUGAUAAAUUUAUUUUCUCAAAAGAGAGAAAUAUACAUUUAAGCUAUGAAAAGAUAUAUAAUAUGUCAAUUGGAGUGGCUCGUGGGAUUACUUAUCUCCACCAUGGGUGUGAGAUGCAGAUUUUGCAUUUUGACAUCAAACCUCAUAACAUCUUACUAGAUGAAAACUUCAUCCCUAAGGUUUCUGACUUUGGAUUGGCAAAGUUAUAUCCAAUAGAUAAUAGUAUCGUCACAAUGAUUGCAGCAAGAGGAACCAUUGGAUAUAUGGCUCCAGAACUAUUUUACAAAAAUAUUGGAGGAAUAUCCCAUAAAGCUGAUGUUUAUAGCUUUGGAAUGCUUUUGAUGGAAAUGGCGAGCAAGAGGAAGAAUCUAAAUCCCCAUGUAGACCACUCAAGUCAACUUUACUUUCCACUCUGGAUCUAUGAUCAUAUCGAAGAAGAGGAAGAUAUAGAUAUGGAAGAUUUGACUGAAGAGAAAAAGAUAAUAGCAAAGAAAAUGAUUAUAGUGUCUCUUUGGUGCAUACAAUUAAAACCAAUUGAUCGACCCUCAAUGAAUAGAGUAGUGGAAAUGCUUGAAGGGGACAUUGAAGACUUGGAAAUACCUCCAAAGCCUACUUUAUUUCCAAAUGAAAUGAGUAGAGAUGGUGAAACAAUAAACUCGACAUCGAAUGAAUUGAACUCGUUCUCUUAUACAUGCAAUUGAUCCUUUAGUGAAGCAUACUAUUUAAGGAUGUAUAAUAAAAUUUUGUUUUACAAUAAUAUAUAGUCCCACGCACGAGCUUCUAUCUAUCACUCUCAGCGUGAGGGGGGUGUGUUGGAGAUCUCACAUCGACUAGAGAUAAGGACAUUUCAUAAUAUAUAAAUGGGUGCAAACCUCACCCCAUUGAGCCUGUUUUAUGGGGUUGAGUUAGGCUUAAAGUCCACUUCGUAAUAUGGUAUCAGAGCCAUUUCGAGCCUAUCCUAGCGAGUAUUUGUUGGGCUUAUCAGGCCACCCGCUAUCGGGCCGCUAUCGGACCACCCAUAAUAUAUAGUCCCACGCACGAGCUUCUAUCUAUCACUCUCAGCGUGAGGGGGGUGUGUUGGAGAUCUCACAUCGACUAGAGAUAAGGACAUUUCAUAAUAUAUAAAUGGGUGCAAACCUCACCCCAUUGAGCCGGUUUUAUGAGGUUGAGUUAGGCUUAAAGUCCACUUCGUAAUAUAUAUAUUGAAAUUAAUAAAAUAUUGUUGUAUCCAUGAGCCUAUAUCAUCUUUGCUUAAGACUCCGGUUGUGUACUCAUAGGUUAAGAUUUGAAUUCAACCACAGAUUUAUGAAAAAAAAGGAAAAGUACAUAAAGUUCAAUAUAAUUUAUAUUAUUAUUAUUAAUAAUAUAAUUUAUAUUGUUAUUAUUAUUAAUAAUAUAAUUUAUAUUAUUAUUAUUAUUAAUAAUAUAAUUUAUAUUAUUAUUAUUAAUAUAAUUUAUAUUAUUAUUAUUAAUAAUAUAAUUUAUAUUAUUAUUAUUAAUAUAAUUUAUAUUAUUAUUAUUUUUAAUAUAAUUAUUAUUAUUAAUAAUAAGUAUAAUAAAAAUCAUAAUAUGAUAAAUAAUAAUCCGAAAUAAUUAAAAAACAUAAAAAUUUUAAAAAAAUUAAUUUUUUUUAUUGCAUUACGAUUUUGGCAGUAUGGAAUUCUAAGUUUUCUUGUAAUAAGUCUUACAUUAUAAAUUGAUUUUAUAAGAUUGAGUUAUACUUAAAAUUCACUUUUUAAUAUAAAAACUCAAAAAAACUAAAGUGAACCAACACAACUUCAAAAACCAAAAGCAAAAAUCGUAUUAACAUAAUGAUUUCAAUAAAAAAAAUUUAAAACAUAUAAUGAGAAAAUCGUACUUUGAGGGAUGACUUACUUAUUUUUAUAAAAAAAGUAAAAAAUUCAAAUACUUUAAACAAUGGUACCAUUUCAGUAAAAAAAAUCUUGGAUUGUAUACAUCUGAUAAUUUUUUUAUAUUUUGAAAGAUAAAUUAUUUCUUCAUUUUAUAUUAACUACAAAAUUUCUUAUUAACUAAAAUAUUUAUAUUUAUAUUACAAAUAAGUAGGAUAACAGUUAUAUCAAUGUGAAUGUAAAAAUAAUUAAAACCUAUGGAAUUGAAAGAUAUAAACAUUUUUUAAUACCAUUAAAACAUAAAUUUUGACUAGAGAUUCAAUUUGAAAAUACCUAAAUUAAUGAGGAGUUUAAAACUUAAUUAAAUCUAGAUUUUAAUUUCACAAGUAUUUUUUUAUAAAUUUAAAAUAUAUACAUGUAAGUUUAAUUUUCAUUUAUUUUAUAAAUAAUUAUUUUCUUGAUAAAUGACUUUUUAUCAUUAAUUUAUGUUCCUACUAGGGAGAUGGGACCUAGAGAACUAUUGAAGUCUUCUUCUCCUUCCUUCGGUCGGGCAGAUAACUGGAUGAUGAGCUGGGAUUCUUCUCGUCCUCCUGCUUCUCCUUCGACACUUGGUCUCGGGUGAACACCGGAUGGUGGGGGUACCUGCGAAGACACUCCGACGCUCAAGUCAGUAAAGCGGGUGGUCAGCUCUCAGGUAGGUGAACAAUGAUAAAUGACGUACCUUAUUUCUUGGGAUGCAUGCUAUUUAUAUUAUUCUAAUGGACCUACAUUGUUGGGCCCGUUUAUCGAGGUGGAUACCGCUUAGGGUUGCAUUACCUAAUUCUUAAUGAUGGAUUAACUUUGCUGACCUUGGUUUGAGCGUUAAUGGUAAUCAGGAUUGGCCGUCGGCCUCAUCCUCAGGUAUGAGUCGGCCAUCGGCCAGAUUUCCCCGGUCUUGGUCGUCUCGAUCAAGUCUUCUAAGGUCUCGGCCAGGUCUCCCAGGGCCUCGGCCAGGUGGGUCGUCGGCCAAGUCUCUCAGGCCUCGGCCAGGGUCUCGAUCAAGUUGACCCGAUCUCGGGCAAUGAGACCAAGGGUCGGCCUCGCCCAUUCCGGUACAAUUUAAUUGAUAUAAAUGUGUGGAUACAUUUAACGUACCAUUAUAAACUCUUCAAUAUAAAAACAAAGUUGUUGUGACAAAAAGAAUUUAGAGUAUCUAUUUUCUUGAAAAAAUCAUUUAAUGUUUAUUUGGAUUAAAACUUACUAAAUAUUACUCUUUUGGUCAUGGAAAAGUUAUGCAAUCCAACACAUGAAAAAUAGAAAAGACAAGUAUUGUCUACACAAAAAAUGUAGAAUGUCACCAUGCAUAUUCAGGUAGAAUGAGUUCAUGAUUCUGCAUUUGCAAACUUUGGAACAAAAUAAUAAAUUUAGUAACCCAUUUGUUUUAACUUUAUAAAUGUAAAAUAUUAUAGAUGUACUUCUACUUAAAAUGACAAACAAGUUGAAUGUAAAACAAAAUUUUAUUAUACAUCACUCACUAGAAAGUAGGCUUCCGUUAAGGAUCAAUUGUGUAGGAACUAAUUGAAAGAAAUAAGAGAAGACAAAAGGUUGUAGAAACUAAUUGAACGUAAUUGCACAAAAUUGCAAAACUCAUCUUCUUCAUUUUGAUUUACUCAAUCAUAUAUAUAAUAAAAUUACAAUUACUGGAAGCUAUAAAAUAGGAAUACUAACAUACUUGUAUACUGACCAUUAAUGCAAUAUAAAGGUAAAAUAGUUUAAGGGUAAUAAAAUCAGAAUUAAUAAUAAUAAAAUCAAAAUUAAUAAUCAACAUCCUCCCUUAAUUCUGAUUUGGAACAACCUUCAUGCCCAACAUAUCUCUUAACUUGAUGAAAGCAUCAAUCUUGAAUGGAUUAGUGAAAAUAUCUGCAAUCUGAUAUUCUGAUCUGCAGUAUUCCAAUUUGAUCAUGUUUUUCCCAACUUGGUCUCGCAGGAAGUGAUAUCGAAUAUCAAUGUGUUUUGCAAGAUUAAUUGCAGAGACAUUAUCAACAUAAAUCUUAAUUGGAACAUCUAUAUUAAAACCAAUUUGAGUCAUGAUAUUGCUAAGUCAAACUGAUUGACAAGCACUUGCUGCUGUUGCUACAUACUCAGCUUCACAAGUAGAUAAUGCAACAAUUGACUGUUUCUUUGAUGACCACAAGCAAACAGUCUUUCCGAUCAAAAAACAAUUACCACUAGUGUUCUUCCUCUCGUCUGAAUCUCCACCCCAAUCACUGUCUGAGUAUCCGACGAUUUCAAUCUUCUUAGAUGAAGAGUAAAAUAGACCAAAAGUUGUAGUACCUUUGAUGUAGCGCAUAAUUCUCUUUACAGCUUGUAAAUGAACUUGUCGAGGUAACUCCAUGUAUCGACUGACCAAUCCCACAACAUAACAUAUGUCGGGUCUAGUACACGUGAGAUAUCUAAGGCUCCCAACAAUCUGCUUAAAGUAUGUUGCAUCUACAGUUUGCCCAUCACCUUUCUUCGUGAGCUUAAUUCCAGUUUCAAUUGGAGUUUUAACUGGGUUUGAAUCCUUCAUCUUAAACUUCUUUAAAAACUCAUCAGCAUAUUUCCUCUGAUGAAUGAAGAUUCCAUCAUCUCCUUGGAUGACUUCAAUGUCCAAAAAGUAGGACAUAAGACUGAGAUCAGUCAUCUCAAAUUCCUUCAUCAUGAUAUGCUUGAAAUCACCAGUCAUUUUGAGAUUACUUCCUGUAAAAAACACAUGAUCAACAUAAAGACAUAAAAUUAGCAAAUCUCCAUGAUCAUUAGUCUUUACAUAAAGACCAUGAUCUGAUGCACAUUUUUUGAAUCCAGUGGCAUGAAGAAAUGAAUCAAUCCUUUUGAUCCAAGCUCUUGGUGCCUGUUUAAGACCAUAUAAAGCCUUAGUUAGUCUGUACACAACAGUUGUAGGAACUAAUUGAAGGAAAUAAGAGAAGGCAAAAGGUUGUAGAGACUGAUUGAACGUAAUUGCACAAAAUUGCAAAAGUCAUCUUCUUCAUUUUGAUUUACUCAAUCAUAUAUAUAAUAAAAUUACAAUUACUGGAAGCUAUAAAAAAAGGAAUACUAACAGACCUGUAUACUGACCAAGAAUGCAAUAUAACGGUAAAAUAGUUUAAGGGUAAUAAAAUCAGAAUUAAUAAUAAAAUCAGAAUUAAUAAUCAACAAAUUGCAUAUAUACUUAUACUUUAUAUUAAAUAAUUAGGAGAACGAGUUCAAUUCAUUCGAUGUCGAGUUUAUUAUUUCACCAUCUCUACUCAUUUCAUAUGGAAAUAAAGCAGGCUUUAGAGGUAUUUCCAAGUCUUCAAUGUCUCCUUCAAGCAUUUCCACUACUCUAUUCAUUGAGGGUCGAUGGUGAACAUAUAUUUAUUCACACUCACUAGCCUUAUUCAUAGAUUAUUGGACUAUAAUAAUAAAUAAAUCCAUUGUUUUAAUUAAUAUUCUUAUAAUUGGGUUUAUUUGGGCUUUAACUAUUAUUAUUGUUAAUUUUGUGUUUUUAGAGUAAAUUAUCCAGAGGAAGCAUCUACCUUUGUGAAUGGGCCAAAUAUGCAAAAGUCCAAGUUGCUUCUUGAACCAAAACAGAAAACAAAUUCUGAGGAGAAGAAAGAGAAAAUAAAAGCUACAAUAUCUCAGAAACAGAAUUGGAAGCAAAUCUUCUGUUAAAUAAAAAGAAUUAUGGAAAGUGGAAACUGUUUACAAAAUCUAAACUGCAAUAUUUUCCCAAGAUCCUUGGAGCAGGAAAGCCUAUAAAAGGACACAAGCAUCAAGGAGAAGAGAGAGAGCUUCAUAGGGUUUUCUUAGUUUAUUUUCUUCUCAGUAAUUCUUUUGUUUUGCCUCCGCAUGGAAGGCUAAAACUUUUUGGUUGAUUCUUUUGUAAUUUCCCAUUGAGUUCUGAGGUUCUGUUCAAUAAAAGUUUCAUUUUUCAAUUCUUUAUAGCAGUUGUUUUUAUUGUCUAAUCUUCUGGAAAACUAGUUUUCUGGAAAACUAGUUUUUGUGAGAGGUUGUACUUGAACGCAUGAUUGAGAGUCUUCCUUGUCUUAAACUUUGGUUUCUUAGUUAGUUCGCAUCGUUCUAAUUAAUUUCUUGGGCGCAUGAUUCAAGAGAGAGGAGGUAAGCAUUCCCAUGGAGUAUACGCAUGGAAAAAAGUGGGUAUUGAUUAAACUAGUAGACGCAUGUUUUACUGGUGAGUUUCAGUUGAAUUAGAUUGAUGCAUGUUCAAUCUGGUUUAGCUCUGUUGGAGGAUUGAGAAAAGAUUAAUCUUUAGAGAACCUAUGAAGAAUUCAAUGGUGGAAGAACUUAGGAUCAACCGCUUUUUUAUUUUCUAUUUUAAUCUCUUUUAUAUUUUUUGCACAACUAUCUCAAACUCCCUUUUUAUCUUUAUUGUUAUUGCUAACUUUUAUUGCUUGCAGAUAGAUUUUAAACCCUGAUCAACUAAUUUUACUAUUGGAUUCGUUGGGAGACGACUUGGGGACAUUUGUCCAUAAUUAUACUAUCAUCUCUCUAGUGUUAGACAAGUCUACGCUAGAAUCAUAUUAAUUUGACAGCAAAACGACAGUUAUCAGUCAAUCACUUGGUUUCAAUUGUAUACACCAAAGAGACACUAUAAUCAUUUUCUUUGCUAUUAUCUUUUCCUCUUCAGUCAAAUCUUCCAUAUCUAUAUCUUCCUCUUCUCCGAUAUGAUCAUAGAUCCAGAGUGGAAAGUAAAGUUGACUUGAGUGGUCUACAUGGGGAUUUAGAUUCUUCCUCUUGCUCGCCAUCUCCAUAAAAAACAUUCCAAAGCUAUAAACAUAAGCUUUAUGGGAUAUUCCUCCAAUAUUUUUGUAAAAUAGCUAUGGAGCCAUAUAUCCAAUGGUUCCUCUUGCUGUAGUCAUUGUGACGAUACUAUUAUCUAUUGGAUAUAACUUUUCCAAUCCAAAGUUUGAAACCUUAGGGAUGAAGUUUUCAUCUAGUAAGAUGUUAUGAGGUUUGAUGUCAAAAUGAAAAAUCUGCAUCUCACACCCAUGAUGCAGAUAAGCAAUCCCACGAGCCACUCCAAUUGAUAUAUUAUAUAUCUUUUCAUAACUUAAAUGUAUAUUUCUCUCUUUUGAGAAAAUAAAUUUAUCAAGAGAUCCAUUGGGCAUAAAUUUAUAAACAAGAGCACGCUUUGAGCCACUAACACAAAAUCCAAUUAAUCAUACCACAUUUUGAUGAUGUAUUCUUCCAAUGGUCGCAACUUCAUUGAUAAAAUCUUGUCCAUUUGCUUUGGAUUUGCCUAACAUUUUGAUGGCCACAGAAGGCCCACUGCACAACUUUGCCUUAAAAACAGAGCCAAAUCCUCCUUCACCUAACUUCUCUUUGAAACCUGCAACCAUCUUCUUGAUUUCCUUGUACGAGUAUCUAAUAGGUGCCAAACUAUUUUGUUUAAAGUAAUUUUCAAUAUUUUCAUACAUUGACAUAUGUCUUUUUCUCCAUUUAUAUAUAAAAAUAACAAUUAUGAAUGACAAUCCAAUCAAAACUUUGUAAGCCCAUCCUAUCAGAAUACCUGCAAUAAAUUUUUUACUUUGAGUGAUUACGCUGGUAAUGUAAUGCACUAAAGUAUUUUGUAAAAUAUUUAUCGUUCAUAAAAUCCAAACUUUGCACAUCCAUACUUAGUAACAUAAAAAAAAAGUGUAAAUUUAAUGUCUAGCACAAAGAAAUAUUAACAAUUUUUUUUCACGUUGCUAUCUAUAAAUAUAUUUUUAUGUAACAGUAAUGUGUCCUAAGACCUAAUGGAGUGAUGGUUGUAAAAAAUGCAUACGUAUUUUUUUAAAUAGUUUCUAUAAAUUUUUUAACUUCAAUUUGUGUUCCUCUAACCUCUUUUAACCUAUUGAAAAUCACAAUUCUUUUAAUCUUUAAGGUAAUUAACAUUUAAUAUGGGUUAAAAACCUUUAUUUAUUUCACUUUGAGGAUUAAAAUUUUGAUUUUUUUUAAAUUAGAUGAAGAAAAUAUGAGAAUUUUUUUUGAUAAAUUAAAAUUUAAUUUUAAAAAUGGGAAGUAUGUCUGAGAUCCAACGUCAACUAUAGAUAAAAAUAUUUUAUAAUAUAUAAGUGAAUGCAAACAUCAUCUUACUGUUUUAUAAGAUUGAGUUAGACUUAAAGUUUACUUCUUAAUAUAGUAUCAUAGUCAAUUAGAGUGUAUCAUAAUAAGAGUUUGUUGGACUUAUCAGACCACUCAUAAAUAUAUAGUCACAUGCACGAGUUGAUAGUCUCGACGUAAGGGGUUAUGUUGGAUAUUCUACAUCGAUGACUAGAUAUAAGGAUAUUUUAUAGUAUAUAAGUGGGUGCAAACCUUACUAUGAGUCAGUUAUAUAAGGUUGAGUUAGGCUUAAAGUUUACUUAUUCGAUGUCGUAGAUUUCUAACGAAAUAUUACUCGUAUCGUAGAUUGAAAAAAGCUUUCAACGGGUACUAUGAAAAUGACACUUGUCCCAAUCCAUUAAGUGGCCUUCAAAAUUACGAAAAUGUAGUACCGUGUGAAGGUGACUUAUUGGUGAUAAGGCGCAUGUUGAGAACAAUUCCAAAACCUUUGGAUGACAGCCAAAGAGAAAAUAUUUUCCUCACACGCGACCUUACCAACAACAAGUUAUGUUCCAUGAUAAUAGAUGGGUGUGGUUGUACUAAUGUGGCAAGUACAAGAGUGGUGGAAAAGCUUGGACUACCCACUAUCUCUCAUACAAAGCCCUACAAGAAUGACUUAAUAAAGAGGGUGAAAUCAUGGUUACUAAACAAGUCCUCAUAACUUUUGUUAUAGGAAAGUAUAAAGAUGAGGUUUUAUGUAAUGUUGUGUCUAUGGAAGCAACACAUGUUCUUUUGGGGAGGCCUUGGCAAUAUGAUAGACAAGUUCUACAUGAUGACCAAACAAACAAAAUGUCUUUCAACUUCCAAGUGCAUAAGGUUAUAUUAAAACCCCUAUCUCCCAAAGAAGUUCAUGGGUACCAACUAAAAAUAAAAAACAAAAGAGAAAAUGAAAAAGAGAGAGAAAGAAAAGAUAAUCGGGUCAUAAACUAUCAUCUUACACAACUAAAUCAAUCAUGUUGACUCGUGCCAUGCUACAAACUGCACCUCCAAGGUGUCCUCUUCCUUAUCUUUUUCAUUAGCAAAUACAUCUAAAUACUUAACAUCUUGGACAAAGAAGUUUUGGGAUGAAAAUCAAACACCUUCUAUGGAUUCUCACCUUUUAAGAGGAUUUUUUUCACCAAGUACUUUCAUCCUCAAAUAUUAUUUCCCAACAUGGCUUGUAUAUAGAGCUUCCACUUUUAAACUCCUCAAGCUUAAACUAACUAUGUUGUUUGCAUGAGUUCUAAAUUCGAGGUUGGAUUCUCUCAAACUUGGGGGGCAUGAUACAAUCCAAGCCCAUAAAGAGAUGACCAAGGACUCACAUUACCAUCCACACUAUAAGAAGUCAUCUCAACUUUCAAGUAAAGACCCCACCAAGGAUCUAGCAGACCUUACCAGAAGGAGAAUGGGCAAAAACUAGAACAUCAAUUAUUCUUCCUUCUAGUCUUCUUAAGAAUAAAACAAGUUGUAAAUAAUUUGGGCUCACAUUGGAGAUCCAAAUAGCAAGAUGGGCUAGAAUAAGGUGCCUUUAGCAUAAUAGCGGGUGUAGUUAUCAUUUUGUCUUGUUUCUAGCCCUUUAAGAAGGAAAUUUGACCUAGUUUCUAGAAGAACAAACAUAGGGUGCGUUUUUGACUUAGUCAAACCCUAAAGGCAGCCUCUCAAACAUUUACCACCCUACCCCUGCCCUUCUUGCCCACCAAGGCACCCAUUCCUACAAAUAGGGUGUCAUACUCCAUGUAUUUUCAUGUUGAAUUUGAAUAGUAAAGUUACUCUGCACAACUUGUGUGAGGUGUUUGUGAGGCUUGUGUCCUCUUAGCAUUAGGUCUUAUCUUGAGUGAUUUGAGAGCUCUCAAGUGGCGACCCUUUACACUUAUCUUGGAGGAAACCACCCUCCAAGUGGCGUGUCCACCUCUCUCCCAUCAUUCAUAAGCUUCCUUUUCCUUCAUCUUUUCUUUUCAUCUUCCAUUCCACCAUUUUCUCUUUGUGUUUAUGUUUUUAUUUUCCUCCAUUUUUCAUUCGGUCUCUGUCAUCUUAUUAUGUUUCCUUCCAUGCUCUUUCAAUUUCACACCAUACAUCAUCGUCAUUAUAUAAUGUGUUUUUCCUUUUGCCUUUGGAAGUGAACCUUCACAUUUACUUAACCACUUGGUUAAGUUCGUGUCCAAUGAGAAUCUUCCCUAGGUCUUACUAUCUAAUUGUUAAAAAUAUCAAUCCUAAGUAAAAUGUCACCUCUAAAAUGGAACAAUCUAAAAUCAACUCACAUCAAAAGAGGUCAAUCUUUUUUUAUCUUAUGUAUUGGAGUAAGUUAGUGUUGAUUUCUCUCGGCAAGUGUACCGAAUCAACUGUAAUAUAUUACUCUUUAAAGUACGCAUGUCGAACCCACAGGGAACAAUUCUAAUUAAGAUGUUCUGUUAUAAAACUCAUUAAGUAUAGAAAAUAAUUUUGAGACUUUGUCCAUAACCAAAUUAAAGAAUUCACGAAUAACUCGGAGAGUUAGGGUUUGAUUCAGGACGUAACAAAACCAACUUAUCAAAUAUAGAGAAAGAUACUUGGGAUUGAAUUGCGUCUAUCUCAAUCAUCUGUAUUUUGAAUAAUACAAUAUAUAAUACUCAAAAUUACUUAUUCUUUAUGCUUAAUUUAAAGUCAUUCACUUUGAUUCCUCACAAAUGAAAUUCAUAAGAUAAUUUAUCAAAUACUGAUUCCUCAAAUAUCUAACAAAUCAUCCAGCUUUAUGAACAGAUCUAUGAUGCAAUUAAUAACCUGGAAUCUAUUCCUAGCAUUACAAGUUAUCAUGUAUUUUCGUCUAUUUCAGAUCCUUAAAGGUACUUUCCAGUUGAAUUUAAGGAUCAAAAUCAAGACUCUAUUGAUCAGACAGAAUCAAGCAAUAAGCAUAAAACGAAAAUACCAAGAACAAGUAGAAAAGAUAAUAUUAUAUAUAUAUAUAUAUAUAUAUAUAUAUAUAUAUCACCAAGAAUGCAUUUGAUCAAGGUAAAUUACAUUCAAUCCCAAGUUAGAAAGAAUUUAGCCACUCAUGACAGCUCCUCCAAUCUUCAUUCUUGAUCUGGAUUGCAUAAGAAGGGCUGAUAUGAGCAAGUUCUUCUCCUAAGAACAGAGGUUUUUCCUCCUUCUCUCACUAAUCUCUCUCUAUAAAAAUUGAAUCUUUCUCCACUGCUCCUUUUGAGUUGUGUUUCAAAAUUUAUAUAAUCAACUUUAGCUCAAGCUAGCCAAUUUAGCUUAAGCUAGAUCUUUCGGUGCAUUUUUAGCUUGAGCUAGCGAUUCUAGCCUGAGCUAAAUCAGUACUGCACCUUUAAUCAACUCUGGACAGUUUUAGCUUGAGCUAGCGAUUCUAGCCUAAGCUAGAUCAGUACUGCACCUUUAAUCAACUCUGGACAGUUUUAGCUUGAGCUAGCAAUUCUAGCCUGGGCUAGAUUAGUACUGCACCUUUAAUCAACUCUGGACAGUUUUAGUUUGAGCUAAAUCCUCUAGCUUGAGCUAAAUCUUCUUGUGAUCCAAUUAAGUUUUUACUUUCUUUCGGUCAAUGGCAUCUUGAAUAAUUCUUUCAAUGCUUCAUAUUCAUCUGCAAUUUACACAAAAAUUGAGAUUAAAUUUCUUCAUUUGUUUCUUGGUUCAAAAUAUAUAAUCAGAUUCAAUAAUUCUCAGAUUAGGGUAAUUUUCUUACAUUAAGCAACAAUUAAGUUCCAAAGUGUUCAAUUUUCUCAAUCAUAAAAACUACACAUUGGCACUUAUUAGUUAGAUGUAAACAUUAUAUAGAUGUAAUGCAUGUAUAUAAAAGAAUGUGUGUAACAGCUUAAUCAGAAUACUUCUGAACAUUAAAGGUAAAUUGAAGGAUGAUGUGAAUGCAUGUCUGGAUUUGAUUGAGAUGAAUAUACGAGAGGAAUUGGCACCGUGAGAAGUUGGUAAACAUACAUAUUUGCCUGCAGCGUGUUACACUUUGUCGAAGAAUGAGAAAAUAAGUUUUUGUGAAUUUCUUAAAGGUGUUAAGGUACCACAAGGCUAGUCUUCAAAUGUUAAGACUCUUGUAUCUAUGCAUGAUUUGAAAAACCAAAAACCCCAUCCCUUAUACAAAAACCAAAAACAAGUUUCCUUGCACCAGCAAGGAUCCACCAGACCUUACAUGACAAUACUAAAAAACACGUAUAAAAUACAAGAUACUGAGACCCCACAACCCUCAACCCAACAUUGAAACACACUCUCAAAACAGACACAAAAUCCAACAGUUAAAGAAUAUCUUUACUAGCAUUAUGACCUACAUCGAACUCAAUGCCAAAUACAAUAGUCGAUAGCAUGCAAAAAGAUUUUAACAACAUUUCUGUUAAUGGAAAUUUGAGAACUACUAAUAGAAGUCUAUUAUUUUGUGUAAUUAAAGAAUUUAGAAAUUAAUAUGAUAAGUCUUACGUGCUAGAUACAGGAUUAGCACUCCCAGCGGUGAUAGACCAGAUGAGCCUGAAAUGAAGGAACAUAUGAAGUUUAGAAUAGUGGUGAUCUCAACAGUUAUUAAAAAAAUACUAUAAAGGACCACAUAUAGCUAUAAAGUACCACAUUUUUCCUUUUACAAAAUUGUUCGAAGACGUAUAUAUGAUACUUAAAACGUAGACUUUGACUCAGAAACCGCGUUUCUAUCUUGUUUCCGUAACUCAUUUUAAUCCAUACAAAAUUUUAAAUAUUCGUGAAGUGCAUGAAUUUUUAUUUCGGUAUUUAAUCAUGUAAUUUUGUUGAUGGUGUUCUUUGAGUUUCUAAAACCAUCCUAAAUUCUUCGUUUUAAAAGCUUAUAUUUUGAAAAAUAAUUUUAAUGACCUUACAAUUUCUGUGAGUCCCAAAAUAAUGUUUGUUUAGUUAAGAAACUUCUACAUGUGAUUGGUACAUAAAUUGUUUUGGUGAAUGUUCCCCCGAAAAUGGCCUCAUAUGUUUCUUUGAGUUAAUUUCUUGAACAUAUUCUUCUUGGACAUGGGAGCAAGAAAGAGUGUGUGGUGGCAGAACGAAGCACUAACAAUUUUCUGUAUGUGUAAAAGGUAACGGACAAAGAAAAAACAUAUGGAAGCAAUUCCAAACACGUAACCCAAAAUUCCAGCAUACUUUUCAACUUGUAGCCUAAAAAACUCAAUAAUUAAAAGUGCGUUUCGAAGAAUUUGACGUAGAUCUCCAAAAUUAUAAUAUGCCCAAAAAUGUGUAUGGUUAGACCUUGUGGACUUUGACCUUCAUAAAGUUAAUAAAAGUGAACAACUCAGAGAUAAUUCUUGAUAGAAUUAAACACUUGAGUUACAUAGGAUGAGCCGGGAGAUCCUCAUUCAGCUAAUUAUUAAUUGGAAGAAUAAAAAAUCAUUAAGCAAUUUUUGUGUGGAAAAGCUAGCAGGAAAUUUCUAAACCAAUAUUUCUGCAUGCAGGUAUCAAAAUCCUCAAGUGCAUGUAGUUUAUUCCAUGAAACAUUACAUUUUAGUCUAGUCUUAAGCUUGUUUCACACUAUUAUGUCCAUUGUAGCAAAUUAACCAAAACCCUAUUCGUAAGCAUUCACGUUCUCUGUACCCCAAUUGCCACAAGAAGAAUACUCACCACUAACUAGUUGGUAUUAGUUGAUCACACUCUCGAAACUCACUACAAGUAGUUGUCACUCAUCAUCAAUGUUCAUUGAUAAAGGUUUAUCCAAGCCCAUCAGAGUUUUGAUAAACUUUCACUAUAAGAAAAUCAUGAAAUAAAAACUAAAAUAAUUAGUUGUAAUAAUAACUAAAUUAGAGACUAUUUUAGAAACUAAAAAAAGAUUGGUUUCUAAAUUUUUUUUAUCAGCAAUGACAAAUAUAUAAAUGCGAACCACAUUAGGAGUGGAACAACCCAUUAACAAAAGAAAAAACAUAGACCUCUCUAGAUCCCUAAAAAGGCAUCACAGAAUCAAAUGCAUACAUAACAGGGGUUCCAAACACCAACUGGAAAAAGAGACCGGAGCAGCAUGAGAUUUUGUAGAAAUCCAAGACCAAACUUUUUUUUGCAUCAAAGAACAAACUUCCGACGCGUCAGCCACUCCCCUAUUGAAAAUAACCGAGUUUCUGCGAAUUUAGAUCUCCCCCACGACCCCUACCCAAAUAGUAUUCCAAACCACAUUAAUCGAAGUAGAGGACGUGUUCAUCCUAAACUGCGCAAAGUUUGACAUAGGGUCAUUGUGAGAUACAAAUGACACUCCCAGCCACUUAAAGCAGUAACACCAUACCCGCCAAGCAAAGUUGCAUUCGAAAAAUAAGUGACGGUAUGACUCUUCCUCCUUUCCGCACAGACAACACAAGGAACUUUCCACCAGCACCCUUCAUCUUUCCAAAUUGACCCUAGUAGCAAUCUUGUUUUGCAACACCCUCUAGGCCGUAAGCAAAGCUGAAGGAAACGCUUUACAAUUCUAGAGCUUACUAAAAACCGAAGAUGGGUCCGCCACACUAACCCUCCUCACUAAAGAGUAAGCAGAGUUGACAGAGAACAUCUAACCUUCACCUUAUCUCUGUCAACUACCACAUUGUCUAUCAGUCCCUUUUCUUUAGUCAUCCUUGAUGCCCCAACCAACCCUUCUGCCACAAUAAGAAAAAGGAACGGGGCUAGCGGAUCAUCUUGACAAAGACCUUUCUUAGGGAAGAAUUCCUUGGUUGGACUACUGUUCACUAGAACAGAAACCGACGCCGAUUUUAAACAUCCUUUUAUCCAUUGAAUCCACAACUCACUAAAGCCCAACCUCCUCAACAUAUAGUAAAUGAACUCCCAACUAACUGAGUCGUAUGCUUUCUCAUAAUCAACUUUGAAGAAAACGCAACUUUUUCUCUUCCUUUUAUACUCUUCCAGGACCUCGUUGGCGACCAACACACUGUCCAACAAACUCCUCCCUUCAAGAAAAGUCGACUGUCUGACAUCAAUACCUUUGUUGAUCACUUUCUUGAAGCGUAGUAAUAACACUUUAGAGAUGAUUUUAUACAGGCACCCAACUAAAGAGAUAGGGCGAAAUUUACCGAGUUGCUGGGGAUUCUCGACUUUUGGUAUAAGACAAAGGAACGAAGCGUUAGUGCCUCUGGGCCAGUGACCGUUGACUGCAAAGUCUUUUACUGCCGCUACCACACCAUUUUUAACAAUAUCCCAUCAGAAUUUUAGAAAACCAAAAUUGAAACCAUCAGGGCCAGGACUCUUGCAACUAUCACAUCUCCAAAUCGCAGCCCUAACUGUUGGGUUUAAUAGUGCCAAAGUUCAAGAGGGGGGUGAAUUGACCUUUUAAAACUUUCUCGCAGAAACAGUGUUUAACUCAGUUUUACAGAAAAUAAAUCGAUUUAUGUGAAAAUGAACAGAUUUAUUUCAGCACUGUUUUUGUUUGAAACGCUUUUAAUACAGCAAGGUUAAUCACAAGACUAUGUAGAUAGAUUUUCCAGAUGCACACACACAAAUAUCAGAAUGAAAAACAGUGAAACACAAAACAGCAAACUUCAAUUUCAAGCAAGUGAUUAAGGUUCAAUUGAUAACAUGCUAAUUAAUUGAGUGACCUUUGCAAACAACCUGUUCCAGUGACUUUUGACAGACUAUGAGUGUUCUUCUUGAUGUCAAGCAAUUUUCCAGAAAUUAAGAACAAUGAAUCACAGAACAGCAAGCUUCAACUUUCAGCAAUUGUUUAAGGUUCAAUUAAUAGCUUUGACAGUUUCUUGAGCAGUCUAUCACAGUCAAUGUGUUCCAAUGGCUUUUAGCAGAUUAUAUAUGUUCUUAUCAGAUUCAAACAACUUUUUCAGAAAUCAAGAACAGUAUGCACAGUGCCCAGAAAGAACAGAUUUAUUUUCAAUUGAACAGAUUUAUUUCUUUGCUGUUUUACCAAUUAUGCAGAAACGAAAUUGCAGAGAGUGAGAGAGAAUGAACACAAGCAGUUAUACUGGUUCACUCAACCUGAGCUACAUCCAGUCUUCACCAACAACAGGUGGAAAUCACUAAAACACAGUACAACCAAGUACAAUUCCCACUGUUCUUGAAACCUACAAGAACUUAGGUACUCUUGCUGAAAAAACCUAUUUCAGCUCACACACACACACUCUCCAAGAACACCUAUGAAGAAGAGUGUUCAACCAAACUAUUACAAGGAAUAAGAAGUGAAACGACUACACCUGAUUGAGGAUACAAAGAUCAGCCUUAAACCAGUAGGCAAGAUUGCUAGAACAGUAGCUGCACCUCACACCAAGCUUUUGGAACCAAACCAAGAACAAGCACUUUGUGAUUUUCGAAAUCUUUGAAGAAUAAAUGCUAAUCCUUUGUAAACUUUUGAUUCUCUGCUGUAAAAACUUGUUUUUGCAAAUGUAUGAACUGUUGAAUUGAUUAUUAACUCAGAAAACAAGUUUGCCUUUUAUAGAGAACCAACUUAUAAUAGAUAUUUGAAAAACAGUUAAAGCUAUUAUAAAAUGAACAGAUUGAAAACAAAAUGAACAGAUUUAUUUUCAAAAAGCAGUUAUAGAAUCUGUUAAGUGAGGAGACUUAGUCAACCAUUCUGGUGCAGAGAUAAAACUGAAAAACGUUUAAGCUUGUCAUGGCACCAGAGACAAAAAGAAUCUAUUCAUUUACAGAUGAACAGAUUUAUUUUUCAAAACGAAAACAGAGAAAGUUUAACUAUUUGAAACUCAGUCGUUUUGAAAAGAAAAAGACUUAGUCAAAAUGCUUGAUGCACAAAAUCUAAUUUUCACAGGACAAAGCCAAGGCAUCAGUGUAAAAAAUGAAUCUGUUUAUUUAGAAAAGAACAGAUUUAUUUUUAUGCAGUAAACGUGUUUUUUGUAAAACAUGUGAAAAACAGUUUAAGAAAACUUAUGCUUGUUCUUAUCACAUGGCCAGUAGUUAUGAGGUGAGUUACUCAGCAAAAAGCCCACUCUUAGACAACCUCUAAGCACUACCUAAGACAUACUUAAAGCAAAGCAAAAUACAAAUGAAAUGUACAUAUAAGUCUUCAUCAAACACUACAUAUCAGUCUUCAUCAAACACAAUCUUGAAGGGGCAGCAACCAUCUUCAACAAUCUCUUCUUCAGAAAAGUCAUCUAUCAGCAUAUCGUUAUCAGAGUCCGAUAUAGAGCAAAACUUAACAUUAUCCAAACGAACCUGACAAGCAUCGUUCCUAGCAAACCUAUCUUUGAAAAAAGUCUGAACCUUUUCCUUGAUCACCUCCUUAUCCUCGCACCAUUUACCAUUCACAUGAAAACCAUGCAACUGAUUUCUCACCCUUCUCCACUUAACAAACGAGUGGAAAAACAUUCUAUUUAGAUCCCCUUGUUUUAUCCAGCUUUGUCGUUCUUUCUGAAACAUGACUGCCUCCUGCUUAAACUUAGCUUUAUUAAGUUCAGCAAGGAGAACCAUUCUUUCUUCCCUUUCAGACCCAAUCAGCCCACAAACAUCAUCGCGUUCAUCCAGAACUUCGAUCUUAUUUUGUGCCUCCUUGUUAGCAAGAUUCACAUCACCAAAGCUUCUUUAUUCCAAAUUUUUAGGUCAGCUUUUAGCCUUUUCAACUUUUCUUUAAAAAUAAAAAUCCUGUCUCCUACAACCUCAUAAAAGUACCAUCUCGAGCUCACAAACUCCUUAAAACUGUUAUCUCUAAGCCAAACGUCCAAACAUCUAAAAGGUUUUGGGCCCAGUCUACGAACACCUCUUUGAGAAUAACAGUGCAAUGGUCAGAGACAAAUCUACUUAAGACGAACUGUUGACAAUUUGGCCAGAAAUCCAACCAUUCCUUUGACACCAACACUCUGUCAAUUCUGCUCUUUACUAACUCGUUUGACUUAUACCAGGUAAACUUCUUGCCUACCAACGGAAUAUCAACCAAUUUCGAACUUUCAAUAAACUCAUUGAAGCCUUUUAUUUCUCUGGAAUAAUCUAGCGUCUGAUAGAAUUGAAAUCACCAAUGACGCACCAAGCCUUUGAUAGCUGAUUCAGUCUAACUGCAUUGAUUUCACUCCACACUUCCUUCUUUUCCCGUAGGGAACCAGAGCAAUAAACGUUCACUCCCGUUACACUUACCCCAUUACCUCGCUUCCAAAGACCUUCAAUCACAAAGUAGUUCCUGUCGUUUACCACCUUAGACUUUUGAAAAGACUUACUACUCCACAUUGUAAGAACUCCUCCAACACUAUUACAAGCUUUGUUCUCAACCCAAUCAAUUUCGUUAGACCCCCAAAGAAAGUACACCUUCCCCGGCUAAACCCGAACUCUUCGUCUCUUGUAAGCACACCAUAUCCGUCUACUCCUUAUUGAUCAAAUCCCUUAAAUAAUUCCUUUUUAUGGUGCCACCUAACCCUCUGAUAUUCAGACUAAUUAUCUUCAUAAACAAACUUACUCCUAUCUCCCUUCCACUUCCUCGAAAAAUCACCUCCCUGUUUUGAUAGAGACAACAAAUUGUUUACAAUUGCUCCUUCGCGACCGGGAAAAGAAAAACCAGCUUCUUUACCCACACACCAAACCCUUGACGCCUCAUUCUUAUCUGUCUUUACCUAGAAAAUUUUAUUGCAAUUCUCAAUUGCGCUGUCAAACGUGAAUAAAGAAUCAAUAUUAGAUUUUGACUGAUGAACCACGAGAACCUGAUCUACCCUUACAUCCACCAAAUUGCUCUCGUUCAUCACAUUAUCAUCUGACCCGUUCCGGCCAAUGGCCAAACCUGCAUUCGGCCUUGGAGUUAAAACUGCAGCCUGUAUAUUUGGUAGCAAAAACUUUGGUUGCUAAUUAAAUACCAAUUUAGAAACUAUUUAACAAUAAUAUAAACUAAUUUAGAAACCAAUUUAGUUACUAUUGCAACUAAUUAUUUCGGUCUCUAAAAAUUGGUUUCUAUUUCAUGAUUUUCUUGUAGUGUUUACAAGUUUAAAUAAACCAUGUUGAAAAGAUUCAUAUUUAUUAUCAAUCAUUGACAACCUAGUAGAUGGUGUAUUGAGUAUGAGAUGUUGAGUUUCAUGGACUGCUAUUCAAGUUAUAACUAAAUUAGAAUGUAUUGAAGACAAGACAACAUUAUGCUAGAAAUAUUUGGUUUUUGUUAGAAAAAAAUAUCGUUUGGAUUGAAGAAUAUAAAAAACAACCUAUCAAAGGUUGGUGGAUCGAAUCUCAUGCAAUUUGAUUGGUUGGAAUGUUGAAACAUAUAUGCAUGACAUAAUGGUCAUAUUAGACAAAACUGACCAACAUGAAAAAAACUUGGAAGAGUUGUUCAAAACUAUUAACAAAUAUAGUUUGAAGUUUUUUUUUAUCAGCAAAAACUAAAUGAAUAAAAGGGGAUGCUUCAGGAGUGUACCAACCCGUAUAAAAAAACCAAAGACAACAAAGGAAGUUAAACACAACAAAAUAUACUUGGAUAAUAGGGAUGGUGUCCCUUUUCAACAAUCUCCAACAAGUUUAGAUUAGUAGACUCAAGAUAUGUUAUGCUAAGCUUUCAUAGAUAAUAUUUUUCACCUUUGAAAAGAGGUGGAUGAUUGACAACUUGACCUUCUCCUUGAGUCUAAUGGAUUGAACCUCUCUUUCUUAUUAGGAUUUUACCCUAGAGGCAAGCUCUGGUUUGACAUAUCUUUAGUCGCAUCAGAUUUUCCAAACAAAAAUUAAGCUUCCCCCGAUGUAACAUAAGGCUAACUUAGGUCGAAUCUCUAAAUACAUAUCUCAUAUAUUAUAUUUUCACUACUUCAUAUUCUACUUAAAUAAGUUAAAAUUGGAGGGGGGAAAAAGGAAAUUGGAAUGAAAAACGAACUAAAACAUAAAACAAAGUAAAGAAUAGACCAUCAAUACAUAAUUGUCUAACAGACUGUUCAUCAAAACAUGAAAUGUAAAGAAUNNNNNNNNNNNNNNNNNNNNNNNNNNNNNNNNNNNNNNNNNNNNNNNNNNNNNNNNNNNNNNNNNNNNNNNNNNNNNNNNNNNNNNNNNNNNNNNNNNNNNNNNNNNNNNNNNNNNNNNNNNNNNNNNNNNCUACUUAGAGAAAGUGAAAGAGAAAGAAAGUGAGACCGACCAUCUAAAAGAUGCAGUAAAGUAAAUGACUAAAAUGUAAAUUGUGAGAAAUAUAAAUAGAUGAAAUGUAAAUUGCAGGAAACAUAAAUUAUUGGAAAUUAAAGUGCAGGAAAGUAAAUUGCAAAAGUCGUAGAGUACAAAAACUUAAAGACUGGAAACAUAAAAUAGAGCAUGAUUCAAAAUGUAAAUUGCAAUUGAUUUAACAAGAACAAAAAAUGAAUUAGAUGCAUAAAUUGAAAAUAUAAAUUGUAGAACUAUAAAUGAACAAGAAUUAAAAGGAAUAAACGAAAGGAAAAGCAAAAUUCAAUUUAUGAAUGUGAAACACGGGACAAAAUCAUGGUUCGAUAAUCUUCAACUUUGAAUGCAAGAGACCAAAAUUUGGAUUCCUUUUUAAUCAAGAAAACACAAUCGUUCAGUUUGAAUGUUCAUAAAAAAUAUUUUCAAUCAAAAAGGAAAAUACUAAAAUAGAGCAUCAUCAAACAUGAUUUUUAAUUCACUGUUACCCAAUUACAAAAUUAAAUUCACUUUCAAAUAUAAAGCGCAAAAUAUAAAGCAAUGCAGAAGUUAAAAAAGAAAAGAAGAAACAUGAGAGAGUGAAGAAGAAAAAUAAAGAACUCUCAUAAUAUUGGAAACCAACAAAAACUAUUAAUAAAAAACUGAAAACUAAACUAAACUAGUGUUGCACCUAAGUGCUUGCUGAAACAUAUCUUUUCUUCUGCAGUUACAGUUUACCUAUAAAGUUUUGAAGCUUUACAAAUAGGUGGUCCUUGGUUGCAAUUGAAAUCGGACCCAAAAAACUGAUCUAAAACUAGCUAAACUGACAAUCUUAAACUUAGUUUUGUUGACUAUCUAAUACUUCGUUAAUGCGCUUCGUUAAUGCGCUUCGUUGAAUGCUGACUUUUAACCGUUUAAUGCUCAUUUUGUUGAUUUUCAUUCUUUCAACUCAACUUUUUCCACUCUUCGUGGUAUAAGUAUUUUCAUUAAAGACCAAUUCAAAAAUAUUCCUACAAAAGAUCAUAAGCAAUUGUUAGGCGGUUGAAGCAAAAUUUAAGCUAAAAACUAUAUUUUUAUUACUUUUUUAUAAAAGAAUACUAAUUUCUUAAAGAAAAUACAAAUUUACUCUACAACCAAAAAAUAAGAACCAAGCAAAUCUCCAAAAUCAGAAAAUAAACAAAAACAUUCAAAAUUUAUGUUAAAUCCUAAACUUUAAACCCUAAACCAUGCAUGACUGUCGAUAUAAAUUUGAUGUAAAUUUUGGACUUCCUUUUUUAAGUUUGAUAGUUUUGGCUUCAAACUAAAGCCUCAAAUCAAGAAAACUCCCAAUAACAAUGCAUAUACAAUAAUAGAUAAAUAUUAUGUACAAAAUCAUAUAAUUUAACCUUAAUAUUUGUUGUAAAACAAGAACCUAAUAUAGCAAAAUAAAAACAAAAAAUAGAGUGUGUGAAACGAAAACAGAGUAAGUGGUAAAACCCUAAAUUUCUUCAAUGACCAUUGGAGGAGAUCGCGGAGGUUCAACGAAGACCGGAUCUGCUCCAAGGUUUUCGCGCGGCGUUGCCUCUUCUACCCUGAAUCGUAGCCGCACGACUGGGAACGCUCACGCCUUCGCUCUACUGAUAGUGUGGAAUCUUGAGAACGUUGCGAGAUUCGUGGGUGGUUGGCUCCUCCUUUCCCGUGGGUCUUCCUCCAACUCCGGCGACAGUCACGACUUCGUUAGGGUUUGAAGAUGCGGUAGUUUUGGGUUUCUCCAUCUAUAAAUACCACAUUCCAUCCUCUUGCUUCACACUACUCUCACUCACGGUUCUUCAUCCUCUUGAAACCCUCUACCGUGCUUCUUCUCCUUCUUUUCCAUUCUUCACCUUUUCUUUUUCUUUCUCUCUCUUCAAUAUUUUAUUAUUAUAAUAAUUAUGUGUUCUAUUGGAGUAUUACUCUUUUAAAGAGAAACUUGCUAGUUCUGAUCCUCGAAAACUACCGGGAAGUUCCUGUUGUAUCUUGGGGGACUUACGCAAUACACCGCGGAUAAGUCCUUAUGGACAAUGUGUUGGGUCUAUUAGUGUCUAAGUUCAAGAGGGGAGGGGUGAAUUGAGCUUAUAAAAUUUUCGCAAAAACACACAAUUUUUCAGUAUUCCAGAGGCAAAAAGAACAGAUUGUUUUUACAUGAAACAGAUUGAUUCUUCAGAGCAGUAUUGGCACAAUUUGAAUUUUGUUCACUGUAAAAUUGUGAUCAGCAGAGAAUUAGAACAGAACCAGAUCUGCUUAAUAUUGUGAGGAUGAAGGAUAUAGCUAUGCUUAGAGAUCAACCAAAAUUACACAACACAAGAUUUCAAGAAGUAUGAUCCUUUCUCAGGUUUUAAUGAAUGGUCAGUUUGUUCACAAUUCACUUAAGCCAUUAUAUGCAGCAACCUUGUUUAUGAUCAGAAAACUUUAACAAGACAGGAAGAACAGUUUUCACUUAACCCAGAAUUAACAGAUUCAAUUUAAAAAGAACAGAUUCAGUUCUUGACAGAAUUAAGCAAAAGAUCAGAAAAGAGUGCAGGGAUGAGAAUGCAAGAUACACACGUUUUUAUACUGGUUCACUCAUACAGAGCUACAUCCAGUCUCACCUUACCCCAAGGUGGAAUUCACUAAAAACAGUGCCAAUCACUUACAAAAACCAGCAGUUCUUGAACACUANNNNNNNNNNNNNNNNNNNNNNNNNNNNNNNNNNNNNNNNNNNNNNNNNNNNNNNNNNNNNNNNNNNNNNNNNNNNNNNNNNNNNNNNNNNNNNNNNNNNNNNNNNNNNNNNNNNNNNNNNNNNNNNNNNNNNNNNNNNNNNNNNNNNNNNNNNNNNNNNNNNNNNNNNNNNNNNNNNNNNNNNNNNNNNNNNNNNNNNNNNNNNNNNNNNNNNNNNNNNNNNNNNNNNNNNNNNNNNNNNNNNNNNNNNNNNNNNNNNNNNNNNNNNNNNNNNNNNNNNNNNNNNNNNNNNNNNNNNNNNNNNNNNNNNNNNNNNNNNNNNNNNNNNNNNNNNNNNNNNNNNNNNNNNNNNNNNNNNNNNNNNNNNNNNNNNNNNNNNNNNNNNNNNNNNNNNNNNNNNNNNNNNNNNNNNNNNNNNNNNNNNNNNNAGAUUUAUUUUGUGAAAACUGCCAACUCAGCUUAACAGAAAUAACUGUCUGAGUGGUACCUUUGGAGCCCUAACUAACUUGUGAAAAGCCUUUCAACUCACCAAGGAAUAAACAUGUUCUUUCUCAGUGAAACAUAUUAAAGUAUAACGCACAGGCCAGCUCAGCUUAACUGAAAUAACGAACUGAGCUUUCCCUUGGUGCCUUAACAGAAAUUUAGAAAAGCCUUUUAACAGAGAAGAAAUAAACAGAUUCUUUCUCCAUAAAACAUAUUUAUUUGUGUACUGUUUUAAAACUGUUAAAACCAUUUUAAAAAGCUUUUCAAAAACUAUUUAACGAAAGCCUUUUUAACGGAGAAGAAAUACACAAAUUCUUUUUCCAUAAAACAGAUUUAUUUGUGUACUGUUUUAAAACUGUUAAAAAACAUUUCAAAAGCUUUUCAAAAACCAUUUAACCACAUCAUGUGCUUGAUCUAGACUUGGUUAGGCAUCUAGGAUAGGUUACACAGCAAAAGGCAAUCAUACACACUUACAAGCCUAAUUACAAAUGAAUCUAAGAACCUAUUACAAUCUUCAAAGCACUCAAGCCAUUUUCUUCAUCAAACACACAUCAAGUCUUGGUAGGGAAGAAGCUUCCUCCAGCUUCAACACAAUGAUCACUCACGCCUCGGGAAAUAUUUUGUUCGUUUUAAAGCCUAUUUUACUACAAUCGUAAGGACUUAUGGCUGAAAAUACGAACAACAACGACAACAUUGCUCCGGGAUCGUCAAGUGUUGUUUCCACAACGCAAACCAUUUUUGCUAAACCAUUUCCGGAUGUCUCCAAAAUUGAAGUCUUCACCGGUCAGAACUUCCAACGUUGGUAAGAACGCGUGUCCACCCUAUUGGACAUGUACGGAGUUGCUCAUGCACUUACAACUGCCAAACCCGACUCAACCACGACUACGAAGCAAGUUGAUGAUUGGAUCCAUGCGAAUAAGGUAUGUCGUCACACUUUACUCAGUGUGUUAUCUAACGAUCUGUUAGAUGUUUAUGCUUCUUAUAAGAAUGCGAAAGAAAUUUGGGAUUCUCUUAUCCUCAAAUAUACUGUCGAAGACAUCGUCAGACAAAGGUUCGUAAUUGCAAACUACUAUCGCUGGGAGAUGAUCGAAGGCAAAGACAUCAAAAUCCAAAUAAAUGAAUAUCACAAGCUGAUUAAAGAUAUCAAAACUGAAAGCAUAACCUAGCCGGAUGAAUUCGUGUCCGAACUCUUGAUCGAAAAGCUCCCGCAGUCUUGGACGGAUUACAAACAACAACUGAAGCACAGACAUAAACAUAUGUCUCUAUCGGAUCUGAUCACCCACAUCAUCAUCGAAGACACAAACAUGAAGGAGUGCGCUGCUGCAAAGGUCAAAGCUUUGUCUGCCAAAGCAAACGUGAUAGAAGACAAACCAGCUCCAAAAAGGUACGAGAAAAAAUUUGAUCACAAAAAGAAACCUAAUAACAAAUUCUUUCGUCCCAGUGGAACUAACCCCACUUUCAAGAAAAAGGGUAAUUGCUUUGUCUGUAGAAAGCCAGGUCUUCAUGCACCUUAGUGUAGACAUAGGGCAAAAAACGACUAUCCUCAUAAGGCAAAUCUAGCCAAAGGGGAAGAUACUAUUGUGGCAGUCGUUUCACAAGUAAACCUUGUGACAAAUGUGAGAAAAUGGGUGGUAGACUCUGGGGCUACCAGACACAUCUAUGCAAACAGAAAUGUGUUUACCUCCUACACAAGUGUGGGGGAUGGAGAAGAACAAGUAUAUCUCGGUGACUCCAGGACAACUCCUGUCCUAGGAAAAGGAAAAGUUAUUCUGAAGCUCACAUCUGGUAAAACUCUAGCUUUGAAUGAUGUUCUACAUGUGCCGUCAAUUAGAGUUAAUUUGGUCUUUGUGGCAUUACUAAGCAAAGUUGGGGUUAAAGUGUCAUUUGAAUCUGACAAGAUUGUUAUGACAAAAAUAAUGUUUUUGUGGGAAAGGGAUAUUGUGAUCAAGGCCUUUUUGUAUUAAAUAUUUUUGAAAUUAUGAAUGAAUCUAAAUCUUAUGCUUAUAUUGUUGACUCGUAUGAUAUAUGGCAUGCUAGAUUAGGACAUGUGAAUUCUUCGUAUGUUAUAAAAUUGCAACGACUAGGAUUAAUCAACAUGCAUGACAAACAAAAUAGUAAAUUUGAUGUAUGCGUAGAAUCUAAAAUAACGAAGAAAACAUGUCACUCUGUAGAAUGUCAAACUGAAAUUCUUGGUUUAAUUCAUACUGACCUUGCUGAUUUAAAACAAAUUAUGUCUAGAGGUGGUAAAAAUUAUUUUGUAACUUUUAUAGAUGAUUUUUCUAGAUACACCAAAGUGUAUUUAAUUAAACAUAAAAAUGAAGCUUUUGACAUGUUUUUAACUUAUAAAGCGGAAGUAGAAAAUCAACUAAAUAAGAAAAUUAAGAGAAUUAGAUCAGGUAGAGGUGGUGAAUAUGUUUUAUUUAAUGAUUAUUGUGUAAAAGAAGGUAUUAUUCAUGAAGUAACCCCACCAUAUUCGAGUCUAAUGGAGUAGCUGAAAGGAAAAAUAGGACUCUUAAAGAAAUGAUGAAUGUCAUGCUUAUUAGUUCUAGUGCUCCUGAUAAUUUAUGGGGUGAAUCUCUACUUACUGCGUGUUUUUUACAAAAUAGGAUACCACAUAGGAAAACUGGUAAAACACCCUAUGAGUUGUGGAAAGGUUAUCAACCUAAUUUGAAAUACCUAAGAGUGUGGGGGUGUUUAGCUAAAGUGAUGUUACCUGAUCCUAAGAAAAGAAAAAUAGGCUCUAAAACAUCUAAUUUUAUGUUCUUAGGAUAUGUAGAACAUAGUGCUGCCUAUAGGUUUCUAGUUCUUAAUAGUGAUAUAAUUGAACGUAACACUAUAGUAGAGACGAAAAAUGUUGAGUUCUUUGAACACAUCUUUCCUCUAAAGAGUAGUGGUACAUCUGAACAACCUAUAGAUAGUGCUAGUGAUACCUUGAGUGAGGAUGUUAGGAGAAGUAAAAGACAGAGAAAGGAAACAUCUUUUGGAGAUGACUUUUAUACUUAUCUAGUUGAGAAUGAUCCAAUAAGUUUUGUAGAAGCUACUAGUGCUCCUGAUGCUAAACAUUGGGAUAAGGCCAUUAAAAUUGAGUUUGAUUCAAUUAAGAAAAAUAAUACGUGGACCUUAGUAGAUUUGUCUAAAGGAGCAAAACCCAUUGGUUGUAAGUGGAUCUUUAAGAAGAAGUAUCAUCCUGAUAGAUCCAUAGAGAAAUAUAAGGCAAGAUUAGUAGCUAAAGGGUUUACUCAAAAACAUAACAUAGAUUACUUUGAUACUUUUGCACCUGUUACUAGGAUUUCCUCUAUCCGUGUAUUGCUAGCCUUAGCAUCUAUCCAUAAGUUAGUAAUUCACCAAAUGGAUGUUAAAACAGCUUUUCUGAAUGGUGAAUUAGAAGAGGAAAUUUAUAUGACUCUACCUGAAGGAUAUGUAGUUCCAGGUCAAAAGGAAAAAGUAUGCAAACUUUUAAAAUCUUUGUAUGGUUUGAAACAAGCACCAAAACAAUGGCAUGAAAAACUUGAUAAUGUUUUACUUUGUGAAGGUUUUUCUACCAAUGAUGCUGAUAAAUGUGUGUAUUCUAGAUCUGAAAAUGGUGAAUAUGUCAUUAUAUGUUUGUAUGUAGAUGACAUGCUAAUUUUUGGUACAUGCAAUGAUAUAGUUUUUUAAACAAAAUUGUUUCUUGGAUCUAAGUUUGAGAUGAAAGACAUGGGUGAAGCAAGUGUGAUUCUAGGAGUUAAAAUCAUAAGGAAGGAAGAUAGUAUAUUACUAUCCCAAGAAAAAUACAAUGAGAAACUUCUUAAGAAGUUUGGUUACUAUGACUUUAAGUCAGUGAGUACCCCUUAUGACGCUAAUUCUAAAUUUGGCAAAUCCUCUGACAAAACCCCUAGGGAGAAAAAUGAUUUUAGAAACAUCGAGGGGAAUGGGACUUAAGCCACUUGCAAACAAACAAGUGAUGGAAACCCAACCUUUGUCAUUGGAGAUCCCAUGAAUAAGGUUCAUAUGGGUAAAAACAAGUCACUUGUUAGUUCUGCUAGCACUGAUAUUGAUUUAAAAUCAUUUUUGUCCAUUCCUAUGGUGUGUGUGAAAGUGCUAGUUAUUGCAUUAUCGAGAGGAUAAACUUUGUGGUUAAAAUUCAGAGGUAAAAGAGUUUUAAUGAUUUUCAUAUCCCUUAUGGGUGCUGUAUGAUUUGCAACAUACACUUGAUGAAAUCACCUAUAUGAGUGUCAAGUGGGGCCGCUUGCAUGAGAUCUUGGCAAGAUCUCUAUAGCACUCAUGAAUACCGGGCACGCGCAUGGCCUAGUAGCGCAACACAGCGAUAACAACAAGUAAUGUGGGGGUUUAUUGUGAUUGAUAAACCUCUAACACAUACUAAAUGUCUUGGUUCAUAUAGCUUGCUAUACCAACUACACUAUGUGUUAAGUUCAUCAAUCUAAGACUGGUUCAUAUAGCUUGCUAUACCAGUUCUGAUGCAUUACAUCUUAGAUAAAUCCAGUAUUAUUUUCUUUCAAUAUUUCUAUGUUUUAUCUUUUGCAAUAUGUGGGGGAUUGUUGUAAAACAAGAACCUNNNNNNNNNNNNNNNNNNNNNNNNNNNNNNNNNNNNNNNNNNNNNNNNNNNNNNNNNNNNNNNNNNNNNNNNNNNNNNNNNNNNNNNNNNNNNNNNNNNNNNNNNNNNNNNNNNNNNNNNNNNNNNNNNNNNNNNNNNNNNNNNNNNNNNNNNNNNNNNNNNNNNNNNNNNNNNNNNNNNNNNNNNNNNNNNNNNNNNNNNNNNNNNNNNNNNNNNNNNNNNNNNNNNNNNNNNNNNNNNNNNNNNNNNNNNNNNNNNNNNNNNNNNNNNNNNNNNNNNNNNNNNNNNNNNNNNNNNNNNNNNNNNNNNNNNNNNNNNNNNNNNNNNNNNNNNNNNNNNNNNNNNNNNNNUCUAUAAAUACCGCAUUCCAUCCUCUUGUUUCACACUACUCUCACUCACAGUUCUUCAUCCUCUUGAAACCCUCUAUCGUGCUUCUUCUCCUUCUUUUCCAUUCUUCACCUUUUCUUUUUCUUUCUCUCUCUUCAAUAUUUUAUUAUUAUAAUAAUUAUGUGUUCUAUUUGAGUAUUACUCUUUUAAAGAGAAACUUGCUAGUUCUGAUCCUCGAAAAUUACCGGGAAGUUCCUAUUGUAUCCUGAGAAACUUGCGCAAUACACCGCGGAUAAGUCCUUACAGACAGUGAUCACUCACGUCUCAGAAAAUCUUUUGUUCGUUUUAAAGCAUAUUUUACUACAAUAUUUUCUCAACAAUAUAAAAGAAACUAUAUCAUCUUUGCUGAAGGAAGAAAGUAUAUUAUAUGGAAGCAAUUCCACAAAGUAACCCAAAAUUUCACCACACUUUUCAACCUAUGGCCUAAAAAUUUGACACGAUCGAUCUCCAAAAUAUAACGUCAAAGUAAUAGUGCGUUUUCAAUUUUAAGUCCCACAUAAUUUUCGUGAUUUUAGACUUUAAUUACGUUUAUAGUUACUUACAAAAUUUGGUAUUUUUAAUUAAGUGUGUAUUAAUUUGUAUAUUAAAUUUUUUAUAUAAAUUAAAUUAUUGUCUUUUAUUUUUUUAUUAAUUCAAUAAUUUAAUAUUUAUUUCGUUACUUUUCUUCAUGUAUUAAAAAAUAUAAAAUUUUAUAAUUAAUAUAAAAAAUAUUAUAGUUAAUAUAAAACGAUAAGCCUCUAAAGAACAAAAUCAAAUAUUUGCAUCCGUUUAAAAGGUGUCACUCUUUUAAUCAAUAAAUUUUUUAAUGUACAUUUGUUUAUUUAUAAAUAUAGAUUUUACAUAAGAUUUCAAAUAGAUUUACAAGCUUUAAUUUAUUAAAAUAUAUAAAUCAUUUUAAUCAAAUUAAAGUUGACUAAAUCUAUAAAAAUAAUUUAGGUCGAUCUACAUUUUGAAAACUAAAUAUAUGUUUACAAUACUUGGUAUUAGAAAACUAUAAAAUAAUGAUGCCUUAAAAGCAUUUAUUUUAUAUUUAAUAAAUUGUCUUAACCAAUAUUAAUCAAAUAAAUUAUCAACUAUUAAUGAAAUAUUUAGAAUAGAUAAAUAAUAAUUUUGUAAACAUAUUUAUAUAAAUCAAAUUAAAAACUAACAUAUGUUUAAAAUAUAAAUUGUUCGAAUGUACAUGACAAUGUUUGUAAUUAUUAUAUUUUGACAAAUAUAUAUGUGACAACUCAUAUUUAUUUUUGUAAAAUUAAAAAUUAAUAAUAAAUAUAUUAAAAAUUACAAUAUAAAAAAUCUAAGUUAAAUCCAUUUACUACCAGAUGAGGCACUAAAGGAUAUGAAAGGACUUUACAUGGAUAGAUGGAAACCACCAGUUUUUGGGAAAAUGAAAAUGAACAUAGAUGGAAGCUAUGAGUUAUCAUUCACUAAAUAGUCACAGAAAAGUCUAUAAGGAUCAAAAUUCUACGUAGGUCUUUGGCUUUUCUUCUUGUAAUACAUCGAAAGCAGAAAUUUUGGUCAUUUUGCAUGCAAUUCAUGUAACCAUUUUAGAAUAUAAUAACAUGUCCUUGUAUAGCAAAUUUCACUNNNNNNNNNNNNNNNNNNNNNNNNNNNNNNNNNNNNNNNNNNNNNNNNNNNNNNNNNNNNNNNNNNNNNNNNNNNNNNNNNNNNNNNNNNNNNNNNNNNNNNNNNNNNNNNNNNNNNNNNNNNNNNNNNNNNNUGAAUAUAUCUAGCUAGAGUUGAUUAUUUGUUCCUUUGUCACUGUUUCAUCUGGAAAUAGAAUAGGUUUUGGAGGGAUUUCCAAGUCUUCAAUAUCCCCUUCAAGCAUUUCCACUACUCUAUUCAUUGAGGGUCGAUCAUUUGGUUUUAGUUGUAUACACCAUAAUGCAACUAUGAUCAUCUUCUUUGCUAUUUUAUUUUCCUCUUCUGUCACAUCUUCGAUAUCUACAUCUUCCUCUUCCCUAAUAUGAUCAUAGAUCCAAAGGGGAAAGUAAAGUUGACUUGAGUGGUCUGCAUAAGGAUUUAGAUUCUUCCUCUUACUUGCCAUCUCCAUCAACAACAUUCCGAAGCUAUAAACAUCAACCUUAUGAGAUAUUCCUCCAAUAUUAUUAUAAAACAAUUCUGGAGCCAUAUAUCCAAUGGUUCCUCUUGCUGCAGUCAUUGUGACAAUACUAUUAUCUAUCGGAUAUAACUUUGCCAAUCCAAAGUCAGAAACCUUAGGGAUGAAGUUUUCAUCUAGUAAGAUAUUAUGGGGUUUGAUGUCAAAAUGCAAAAUUUGCAUCUCACACCCAUGGUGGAGAUAAGCAAUCCCACGAGCCACUCCGAUUGAUAUAUUAUAUAUCUUUUCAUAGCUUAAAUGUAUAUUUAUCUCUUUUGAGAAAAUAAAUUUAUCAAGAGAUCCAUUGGGCAUGAAUUCAUAGACAAGAGCACGUUUUGAGCCACUAGCACAAAAUCCAAUUAACUGUACCACAUUUUGAUGAUGUAUUCUUCCAAUGGUUGCAACUUCACAUAUAAAAUCUUGUCCAUUUGCUUUGGAUUUGUCUAACAUUUUGAUGGCAACAAAAGGCCCACUGCGCAACUUUGCCUUAAAGACAGAGCCAAAUCCUCCUUCACCUAACUUCUCUUUGAAACCUGCAGCCAUCUUCUUGAUAUCCUUGUAUGAAUAUCUAAUAGGUGCCAAACUAUUUUGUUCAAGGUAAUUUUCAAUAUUUUUAUACAUCGACAUAUGUCUAUUUCUCCAUUUACAUAUAAAAAUAAAAAUUAAGAAUGGCAAUCCAAACAAAACUUUGUAAGCCCAUACCAUUAAAAUAGGUUCGAGAAUAUCUGCAAGAAAUUUUUACUUUGAGUGAUUACACUUAUACUAUAAAAUGCAACAAGAUAUUUGUUAAAGUAAAUGUGGAGUACAUAAUUAAAACAGAGGUAAAUUAAGAUGAUAAAAUAUCAAUUUCAGAAUAUAAUAAAGACUGAGAUAAUAAAGGUUGUGUUGGAUUAGUAUAAAUCACGGGGAAGAUGAUAAUGCGACUGUAAGAAGAAAUGGACUAAUGGUUGUCCAAAUUAAAAACUAAAUUUAUUAUAAUUUUGUUUCAUGUGGAUUGUGUAUAGUUUAUGGUGUAAUGAUGAAAUAGAGACAACAAAACACCGGUUUUGUAAAAUGUAAAAUUAUUAGUAAGGAUAAAUGGAUAGGAGUUGAUUAAGUUUCACUAUUAAUAGUUUUACUCAGUUGACUUAGAGUUGUGGAUUAGAUGACAUGCAUACAACAGGCUCGUUUAAAUUGUGCAUUAUGAAAAAUUUGCAAAAAAAAAAAAAUGUUUAAAUAGUAUGACAACUAAUUUUGGUAUGUAAAUGGAACAUGUUGGCAAAUGGAGGCUGAUUACUCCCUGAUAUUUUGUAUAAACGAGUUGAGUUGGAUCAUCUUUCUAAUGUUUUAUUUAAGUUUAUUAAUUCUUUGUUAAUAAAGAAAAGCAUAGGUAAAUUAAGAUGCAAAAGUUCUUACCUGUUACAUCCAUUAAUAGUUCUUCCAGUAUUCCUGUAUCACCCGAAAACGAAGGAAAAUAUCAAUUUCAGAACUGUUAAUCUCAACAACUAUACCAACUAAAUGCAUGACUUUUUCUACAAGCAGCUUAUGUGCAUGAGUUCUAACUAAUAAUACAGGUAAAAUAUACAAAGUAAUGAAUUAAUACUCAUCUAAAAAUUGAUAGAAUACAGAAGGGUGAAUCNNNNNNNNNNNNNNNNNNNNNNNNNNNNNNNNNNNNNNNNNNNNNNNNNNNNNNNNNNNNNNNNNNNNNNNNNNNNNNNNNNNNNNNNNNNNNNNNNNNNAUAUAUAUGUUUGACAUUUGGUUUAGGAUCACUCACCAUACCCGCAAUUAAGCUUCUGGUUAGAAGAGUCGAAAUAGCAAUCUCUAUAGGAAAGUGAACAAUGUUUCUGACAGGGUAGUUUUAUCCAUGAAAUCUCGAAUCCAUAGGCGAGUGCGGUGUGCAUGGAAGAGUAGGAAUGGUUAUCGAAAGUGGAGAGAGAAGUGGGAGCAACAAGCUUUACCUCACACCCAACUUCUAAGUCCUCUGCUUUUAGGUCUCCACCAAUUGCAUAUGAAUACCCCUUCCCCUCCCACUUCACCCACUCUCCACUCUCCACAUACUUCCCUUUCUCUCCCACCGAAUCGUUACAAUUCACCAACACUAUAUGCGAGAAACUCAGAGAUUCCCAAUUUACAGAGGCUCUUAGACCAGCUUGGUAUGGAUCCGUGUAGUAAGCGUAAGUGUCAGAGAAAUUGGAGCGAGAGAGGAAACGGAGAGGAAGGGAGGAGAGAUUAUGGUGUUGAAGAGCAGGAUCAACCACUCUCACUGUGUAGUUCUUGUAGUUUAUUGACUGCACAUGAUAUUUUGCAGAGUACAGAUACAACACCGUAACAUUAUUCUCACAACCAAGCUCAUACCUUUUCUCACCACACUUUUCUGGGUCGCCUUUUAAUCGAAAAGGGUGAUUGAUGUUGGUGAUUUUACCACAGGAAGAAGGGGGGCAGCCACCAUGGAUUUUAUGGACUAGAAGUAGCAAUAUCACCAUGAAUGCUCUGUUUCGCCACAUCAUGUUCAAAUUAUCAUGUGCAAACAAAUCAAAGUCGGAUAUUGAUAUUUAAAACAGCACAGACUAUCUUUAUGACUAUUAAGGACCACAUGUUUCCUUUUAGAAAAGUGUUUGAGGACUUAUGAUACUUAAAACGUAGACUUUGACUGCGAAACCGCGUUUCUGUUUCCGCAACUCAUUUUAAUCAAUGCAAAAUUUUAAAUAUUCGUAAAGUGCAUCAAUUCUGAUUUAGAUAUUUAAUCAUGUAAUUUUGUUAAUGAUGUUCUUUUGAAUUUCUAACACCUUCCUAAAUUGUUCUUUUUGGAAGCUUAUAUAAAUAUGGUGUUGAAAAAUAAUUUUAAUGAUUUUAUAAUUUUUAUUUUAAAAUAUAUUCAUUGUCUAGUGGUAGUGUAAUACAGUCCAGUGGUUUUGUUCGGACAGUCUAAGAGGUCAUUAUACUGUCUAGCAUUCUCUAGUAGUAGUGUAACACCGUCUAGUGGUUUUGGCCGGACAGUCAAAGAGGUCUUAUAGACCGUCUAACGGUUCUAGUGAGAUCGUCUAGCUCGUCUAGCUAGUUUAGUAACAAGACUAUCUAGCGGGUUUGUUUUGUCUUUUUAUUCUAUUUAUAUGUUUAUAUGUUGUAAUCUUGAGAGUGUGUGUAUCUCAUGCUCUAUUUUUCAAAAAUUCUGGUUUUCUUCUUUUGUUUCUUGCUUUUACGAGUUGCGUUAUCAUUUCAUUAAUUUGUGUUACUAUGCAUUGAUAAGUGUCUAAUUUCAGUAAUAUUUCAUAUUAAAAUAUAGACACUUAUGAGGAUUUUUUUCUAAUUUACAUAAAAAAUAAUUCCUUAUUUAUAAAUUUAUACUUUUUUACAUUUUUGUAUGAUCUUUAUUUAAAUAAGAGCAUUUUAUUCCCAAAUUUGGUGUUAAUUGCAGGUUUCUAGGGAGGAUUGAAGAUUUGCAGUAAAGGAUAAUGAUUUGAGCUAAAAAGAGAAAGCUGGAAGUUCUCAGAAUAGAGAAAAGCGCCGAAAAACCCAAUGUCGCCAAAGGAGUAUCUCACUCAAGCGAGAUAUUCUCGUUGAAGUGAGAAUGCGUCAGACAGAAUGGGCUUUUUUUUAUGUUUUAUCACUUAGCCCAUCAACGCGACACAGGAAGCGACCUAACCCUUGAAAGUUAGGUUAAAUAGGGGGCUAGAGGCUCAACCCUAGUGUGUCAGAUUGAGAGGAAAACACCAUAGAGUGAAUUGUAACCCAUUUGAGAUAAUGGAAGGUGUUAGAAGUAUGUGUGGCUUAUUAUUCUACCCUUUCAAAUUGGGAGUAAUUUGUUCGAACUCUUAUGUAUUGAGAUGAUAUCUAUAUAAUAUAAUAUCCAGUUCUUGAUUGAUUAUUGGUACUCACCUAAAUAACAAUACUUAACAUAUUUGAGUGCUAGAAAUAGACUUGAAAUGUUAAUUGUUAUUAACAUAUGAGUUUGAUUCUAAAUUGUUCUUAUAAAUAUGUGAGGGAUCGAUAUUUAGGGAACAUUCUUAAGAAUUUUAUAUGUGAGGAAUCGAUAUAAAUGACUUUUAUACGGGCAUCAAUUUCAGGCAAAGAACUUAAUAUUAACAUGCUAAUCAAAAUACAUGAGUGAUACAAAUGAAACCCAAUCCCCAUUUUUCCAAUUGAAGCAAUUACUCUUUGAUUUGUUUUCUUGUUAAUUCUUGUCGUUAUAACAAUUUUCAAACCAACUUUUUAUUAUUCUGUUUUAUAUUUAGCGAAUAUUGUACUUGAAUAGUCAAUUAUUCCUUAUGGGAUCGAUAUCCGUCCUUAAGGACAAAUUAUUGCUUUUGACAACGCGGUGCACUUGCCGUAAAAAGUCAUCAUUACGUGUGUAAUGAAUUACCAUUUUUAUUAUGCUAUCAAAGUAGGUUGAAUGACCUAUUUUGCCUCCACUGUUGUUUCUAUUCUUUUUCUUUCUUGCUGAAUAAUUGUUUUCUCUUGUGGACUAUUUUUCUUGUUUUCUUCAUGUAUUUUUCUGAAACAUAAUACAGAUAGCAAGGUUUUGUUCUGGAUCUUUGCAAUAAUCCCUCAAGCUGAUAUUACUUGCAUCUUGGAGAAUAUUUUGGAACUGCGUUUAUCUCUCCUAAACUAAAUGGAGAAAAUCCCUUCGCAUAAAGGGAAAAUUGUGGUAUUAAAGUUGACACCUCUCAUAGUUAAGUUUGAUCUUGUUGGUACUUAUUCCACCAAAACCCUCCAAUCAAAGGUUUGAGCAUUCUGGAGUGCUCAGACAUUCUCAAACAAAUUGAAUAAAGUAUUACUCACAUAGGUAUUUUUUAAUAUAGCAUAUGAUGACUUGUCAUAGUACUUUCCAUCCUCUUCCCCUAAUCAUUGCCAUCUAUCUUGGUUGUCUUUUUGUAAUUGUGAAAAGUUUAAUUCUCCCAAAUUACCAUUCAAACCUCUCUCUUAUCCACUUUUAAGUUUCACUCCUAACAAUUUUGUGACCAACUUUCUAAUUCUCUUACUGUUUUCCUUUACAAUUAGAAAUUGAGAAUACCCUAGGAAACUUUUGUUUAAAGGUCACCUCUCCUAAUCAUCCUUUCAAUAAGUGAUUGAUAGAUGUUAUUUAUUGACUUCCCUUUUCUAAAUGCCCUUUCUGGCAUUAUUGGUAAGUUCUGAUACUAAGCCUUUAAGGCUCGGCUUGAUGCUUAAUUAGUGGGUUGUGUGGCGUUAUAGCUAUAGGUAAGGUUUGAUAUUAAGCCUCUAAAGCUUGGCCUAACAGUACAAGAAAAUCAUGAAAUAGAAACCAAUUUUUAGAGACUAAAAUAAUUAGUUGCAAUAGUAACUAAAUUAGAGACCAUUUUAGAAACUAAAAAGAAAUUUGGUUUCUAAAUUAGUUUCUAUUAUUUUCUAUUAUUGUUAAAUAGUUUCUAAAUUGGUAUCUAAUUAACAACCAAAGUUUUUGCUACCAAAUUUAGAAACUAAAUAAUUGGUAGUUAAAACCUUAGUUGCUAAUUAGAUACCAAUUUAGAAACUAUUUAACAAUAAUAGAAAAUAAUAGAAACUAAUUUAGAAACCAAUUUUAUUUUUUUAGUUUCUAAAAUGGUCUCUAUUUUAGUUCCCAUUGUAACUAAUUAUUUUAGUCUCUUAAAAUUGGUUUCUAUUUCAUGAUUUUCUUGUAGUGUAAGGUUUGGUCGGUGGCAUUAUAGGUAGGUUAUGAUCUAUAUAACGAUAAUUUGGACUGAAAGAGAGCCAAUCCCAGAAAAAUUCCUAUGAUUAUAUAUUUAAUAGAUGAAUAUCGUUUAUGUCUCCUAAACAUUUAAGACACUUUUAAGACAAGAAUAAAAUGUUAUAAAGGUAAUUUUGGCCUUUAAUAAUGAAUAAAGACUUAAAGUAGGACCAAAUACAAGAAAAUGAGAGGAUUAAUAGAGCAUCAAAAGGAUAUACAAGGUCAGAAAAAGGCAAAACAAAAACUAGGGUUGAAUUGUUUUCACAAGAUUUUCGCAAUACUGGAGUCAGAUUGAAAUCUUAAUCAAAUCAACUAACUAAUUUAUCUGUUCAACUAAUUAUAAAAAGCACAACAAGUAUAUAUUCAAAAAUUAAAAACCAGUUGUUACGAGAAUUCAACCAAUUGAUUUAAAUGCAAAACACCGAAAAGCAAUUGAUAAAACAAAUAUCAGAGUAAGAGAUAGAGAGAUUACACAUGAGAUUUAUACUAGUUCACUCCUACACCAAAAGCUACAUCUAGUCCUCAUCAAACCAUUGAGAAUUCACUAAAGCAAACAUACAAGAUUUACAACACACAACACUCUUAACCACACACAAAAUUCACACUAGUGCAAAUAACACUUUUUACAACAUUAAGUCAGUUAAAUGAGAACCGAUGUAAACAAAAAUGUGGUGACAUUUUUGUAAAUAUUUGACACAUAUUACACCAGUGAAGCUAUCCAACCGGUGUAAUAUGUCCUACUUAGAGAAAAAAAAGUAUUUUUAGAUUUUUUAUCUUUGGGAUUACAUAUAAUACCGGUUUAAUAGAGGAAUUGGUGUUAUAUAUCAUUUUCAGAUUAAAAAAACUUGUUUUCAAACAAAAUUAAGAAUGAUUGCAGCGGUAUUAAUAACUAAACUUGAUAAAUGAUAAAAAGUUGAUAUAUAAUCCAUACGACGACUCUGUAUGGGGCAAUACGUAACUGGAAAACAUAUAUAUGGAUCAUUGCAUCAAUUUAGAAAAUUUAGGCUAGAGAACCUCAUAAAAGUUACCCUAUAUCAAGACAUGAUUUCAUGAAUUAUAUUUAAAAAAAAUAGAGAUUUUAUACAGAUACAAACAUCAAUCAAAAUGUGAGAAAACAGCUUUAUGAUAUUUAUUUGUAAUCCAUCUACUAUUUAGUUUUUGAAAAUUACCUCAUUUCUAUGAGACCAAAUUGUCCACAAAGUAGCAAUUCAUAUGGUUCUACAUAUUUGGUUAUGUUUCCUUGUUAGCCUACAUGUUCAUAGGUAAUGUAUUUUAGCAUUUUUGUGGUGUACAAAGGUAAGUCUAAGCGCACACAUAUCCCAAAUUUGUUUUGCUACCCGACAAUUAAAGAAUAAAUUAUUUAUAGAUUCGUCUAAAUUGACACACAAAAUGCAUGAAAGAUUUGUGAUUGGGAUGAGUCUCUUACAAAGAUUAUAAAGAGUGGCAACUUUAUUUUGGAGUAACCUCCAAACGAAUAACAUAACUGAUGGUAAAGCCUUGAAGCUCCAUAAACUUAGAAACACGUUGUCAUCCUUGCCUGCUUCUAAUCGCUCUAAACCACAUAAUUUUGCUCCUCUUAUUAAUUGUAAUAUCACGGACAAAACAUUGUGGCACUAUAGACUGGGGCACCCUUCACAUGAAAGAUUACAUGUCUUACGCAAACAAUACCCUUUUAUUACUAUUGAUACUCAUCAUGUAUGUGACACUUGUAAUCGUGCAAAACAGAAAAAAAACUUCCUUUCACUUUAAGUACUACUGCUACCUCUUCUAUUUUUGAUCUUGUACACUUUGAUAUUUGGGGACCCUGUUCCAUAACUUCUAUGCAAGGUUUUCGUUAUUUCUUAACUAUUGUUGAUUAUUACUCGCGCUAUACUUGGGUUAUUUUGUUGCAUAAUAAAUCUGAAGUGCGUCCGCACAUCAUUAACUUCACUCUUUUUGUUCAAAAUCAUUUUCAAACUAAUAUCAAAACGAUUCGUACUGACAAUGGUGUUGAGUUUGCUAUGUCAAGUUUUUAUGCUUCAAAGGGAAUUAUACAUCAAACAUCUUGUGUUGAAACACCACAACAAAAUGGCAUUGUGGAACGUAAACAUCAACACAUACUAAAUGUAACCAGGGCCUUACUUUUUCAAGCAAAUCUUCCUCCCAUCUUUUGGGAAUUUGCUGUAAAUCAUGUUGUUUUCUUAAUAAAUUAUAUUCCUACUCCAUUACUUAAUAACAUCACUCCUCAUGAACAAUUGUUUGGAAAACCGUAUGACAUUUCUUUUUUAAAAGUGUUUGGUUGCCUAUGCUAUGCUAGUACCAUUACUGCACAUAGGAAGAAAUUAGAUGAUAGAUCUAUCAAAGGUAUUUUUCUUGGUUUCCCGCAAAAUACAAAAGGUUAUAUUGUCUUAAAUUUAAAGUUUUAUCGCAUAGAGAUAUCAAGACAUGUAAUCUUUCAUGAAACUCAUUUUCCAUAUAAAUUGGAUAGUGGCUUGCCUAGGGACUCCAACACUUUAUCUCUCCCUAUUUCUAACGCAUAUAAUUCUGCUCUUGAUUUUUUUCUGAUACUGCACCUCCUUCCGAGCCGUGUGCCUCUACUCCUGCACCUUCUGUCGAGCUGUGUGCCUCUACUCUUGCACCUUCUGCCGAGCCGUGUGCCUCUACUCCUGCACCUUCUGCCGAGCCGUGUGCCUUAUUAUCCUCUGAUCUUCCGGAAAAUAAUGUCUCUGCUCCUGCAUCCAACACUGCACCUCCACCAACAUCAUCACCUCCUGCACCUCCAGGAAGCACCUCACCCCAAUUUCCAAGAAGAUCAACUCGUCCUCACCGACAACCUGCCUAUCUUGCCGAUUUCCACACAGCAACCAACACUAUAAGUAGUAGAUAUCCUAUUCAUAAUUACUCUUCUAAUUUUAGAAAUAUUAUUUCCUCUAUCAAUUCUCAUCCUGAACCUCGCACCUAUACUGAAGCCUCCAAACAUGCUUCUUGGCAAUCUGCCAUGCAAGCUGAGCUUCAAGCUCUUGCUGCCAACAAUACUUGGCAACUUACCCCUCUCCCUCCAGGAAAGAAAACUAUUGGUUGUAAAUGGGUAUAUAAAAUUAAAUAUCAUUCUGAUGGCACUGUUGAGCGCCACAAAGCUAGAGUUGUUGCCAAAGGGUUCACCCAACUUGAAGGACUUGAUUUCUUAGACACUUUUGCACCUGUUGCUAAACUCACUACCGUCCGCCUUCUCCUUGUUGUUGCCACUACCAAAAAUUGGGUUUUAAAACAACUUGAUGUCAAUAAUGCCUUUCUUCACAGUGAUCUCUAUGAAGAGGUAUACAUGACCCCCCCACCUGGUCUCUCUCUUCCUUCUCCCCAGCACGUCUGCAAGCUUCAACGGUCUUUGUAUGGUCUUCGUCAAGCUGGUCGUCAAUGGUACGCAAAACUUUCUACUUUUCUUUUAUCAAAUAAUUACUCUAUCUCUGUUACUGACCACUCUCUUUUUCUUAAAUAUAAUAAUGAUAAACUCACUCUUUUUCUUAAAUAUAAUAAUGAUAAACUCACUGUUAUUCUUGUUUAUGUUGAUGACUUGGUCUUGACUGGUGAUGACACGGAGGAAAUCAAUACAAUUACUGCAUCCCUUCACCAUCACUUCAAGAUCAAAAAUUUAGGUAAUCUCACUUACUUUUUGGGACUGGAAAUUGCUCGCAACAGUACUGGUCUUCAUUUAAGUCAACGCAAGUAUACUCUUGAUCUCCUUCAAGAAACUGGCAUGCUUGACUCUGCACCUGUGGCCACUCCUAUGACUCACACCUCCCGUCUCUCUCCGACCAAGACUCACAAAUCUGCCCUUCAAAUAGCUUCCAAUCAAGUUUUUCAUGAACAAACCAAGCACAUCGAAAUUGAUUGUCACCUAGUUCGUGAAAAACUUAACUCUGGUCUCCUCAAAUUGCUACCCAUUACUUCUGCAAUGCAAGUUGCUGACAUAUUCACCAAGUCCCUUGCUUCCGCACAGUUCUCUACUCUCAAAUCCAAGCUGGGCCUGACAAAUAUCUACUCCCCAGCUUGAGGGGGUGUCAACAUAUUUAAUUUUCCAUUUUAAAUUAUUGGGCUUUGUUUGUUUGGCUCAACCUUCCUUUUCUGUUUCCGCUAGGUCUUAAUCUUUCUCUUAUAUAUACACCAUGUAUUUUACUCUAUAAUAUAUAAGUGAAUAAAAUAAAAGUUUAUUUUAUAUUUAGUUUUCUCUACAAUUAGGGUUUAUCAAAACCUUUUGUCUCCGUUACGACUACGUUCGUUACAUUAAAGCAUCACAUCAGGGCAAGGAAUAUUCAUCUUCAUUUACUGUAAUAAUAACCAAAAUAAAUUAAUACAAUAAAUUAUUAAGUAAAGAUAAAAUGGAAAAAAAAAUAAGAGCAGUUAAGAGGAGAAUAAGAAAUGACACAAUGACCAUAAUACAAUAAUAAAAUUAAAUAUUAAUAUAAGGAUAAAAUAGAAAAAAAAAUUAAGAGUAGUUAAGAGAGGAAUCCCCUUUAUAUAUAGGUAUAAAUAUUACAAAUAAGUAAGAUAACCGUUAUAUCACUGUCAAUAUAAAAAUAAUUAAAACUUAUGGAAUUGAAAGAUAUAAACAUUUUUUAAUACCAUUAAAACAGAAUUUUUUAAUAGAGAUUCAAUUUGAAAAUACCUAAAUUAAUGAGGAGUUUAAAACUUAAUUAAAUCUAGAUUUUAAUUUCACAAGUAUUUUUUUAUAAAUUUAAAAUAUAUACACGUAAGUUUAAUUUUCAUUUAUUUUAUAAAUAAUUAUUUUCUUUUUAUCAUUAAUUUAAUUAAUAUAAAUGUGUGGAUACAUUUAACGUACCAUUAUAAACUCUUCAAUAUAAAAAACAAAGUUGUUGUGACAAAGAAUUUAGAGUAUCUAUUUUCUUGAAAAAAUCAUUUAAUGUAAAAUAUUUGGAUUAAAGCUUACUAAAUAUUACUCUUUUGGUCAUGGAAAAGUUAUGCAAUCCAACACAUGUAAAAUAGAAAAGACAAGUAUUGUCUACACAAAAAUUGUAGAAUGUCACCAUGCAUAUUCAGGUAGAAUAAGUUCAUGAUUCCGCAUUUGCAAACAUUGAAACAAAAUAAUAAAUUUAGUAACCCAUUUGUUCUAACUUUAUAGAUGUAAAAUAUUUAAUAGAGAAAAACAAGUGAAAAAUAUUAUAGAUGUUUUUCUACGUAAAAUGACAAACAAGGUGAAUAUAAAACAAAAUUUUAUUAUAUAUACAUCACUAAAUAGUAUGCUUCACUAAAGGAUCAAUUGCAUGUAUACUUAUACUUUACAUGAAAUAAUUAGGAGAACAUGUUCAAUUCAUUCGAUGUCGAGUUUGUUGUUUCAACAUCUGUACUCAUUUCAUCUAGAAAUAAAGUAGGUUUUGGAGGUAUUUCCAAGUCUUCAAUGUCUCCUUCAAGCAUUUCCACUACUCUAUUCAUUGAGGGUCGAUUGCUUGGUUUCAACUGUAUGCACCAAAGAGACACUAUGAUCAUUUUCUUUGCUAUUAUCUUUUCCUCUUCAGUCAAAUCUUCCAUAUCUAUAUCUUCCUCUUCUUCGAUAUGAUCAUAGAUCCAAAUUGGAAAGUAAAGUUGACUUGAGUGGUCUACAUGGGGAUUUAGAUUCUUCCUCCUGCUCGCCAUCUCCAUCAAAAGCAUUCCAAAGCUAUAAACAUCAGCUUUAUGGGAUAUUCCUCCAAUAUUUUUGUAAAAUAGUUCUGGAGCCAUAUAUCCAAUGGUUCCUCUUGCUCCAGUCAUUGUGACAAUACUAUUAUCUAUUGGAUUUAACUUUGCCAAUCCAAAGUCCGAAAUCAUAGGGAUGAAGUUUUCAUCUAGCAAGAUGUUAUGAGGUUUGAUGUCAAAAUGCAAAAUCUGCAUCUCACACCCAUGGUGGAGAUAAGCAAUCCCACGAGCCACUCCAAUUGAUAUAUUAUAUAUCUUUUCAUAGCUUAAAUGUAUAUUUCUCUCUUUUGAGAAAAUAAAUUUAUCAAGAGAUCCAUUGGACAUAAAUUCAUAAACAAGAGCACGCUUUGAGCCACUAACACAAAAUCCAAUUAACCGUACCACAUUUUGAUGAUGUAUUCUUCCAAUGGUUGCAACUUCAUUGAUAAAAUCUUGUCCAUUUCCUUUGGAUUUGCCUAACAUUUUGAUGGCCACAAAAGGUCCACUAAGUAACUUUGCCUUAAAGACAGAGCCAAAUCCUCCUUCACCUAACUUCUCUUUGAAACCUGCCGCCAUCUUCUUAAUUUCCUUGUAUGAGUAUCUAAUAGGUGCCAAGCUAUUUUGUUCAAGAUAAUUUUCAAUAUUUUCAUACAGUGACAUAUGUCUUUUUCUCCAUUUAUAUAUAAAAAUAACAAUUAUGAAUGGC
This 68166-nucleotide long non-coding RNA is filed under the name Phaseolus vulgaris (common bean). RNAcentral's name for it is "long non-coding RNA (PVUL_LNC004841)". Lineage: Eukaryota; Viridiplantae; Streptophyta; Magnoliopsida; Fabales; Fabaceae. The record is from RNAcentral.